RNAcentral lists this long non-coding RNA (59973 nucleotides) under Sorghum bicolor (sorghum). Its description in RNAcentral is "long non-coding RNA (SBIC_LNC009489)". The record is from RNAcentral. Lineage: Eukaryota; Viridiplantae; Streptophyta; Magnoliopsida; Poales; Poaceae.
UCUUGAAUGGCCUAAUUGAAUUCCUUUUGAUAUCUUGACUUUCUAGAACCUCUCUUUGGUAUUUAGGAUAAUAGGAUUAGUUGCUAACCACAUGUGCAGUUAUCUUGUAAAUUACAUGGUGCCCUGUCACCUAUGUCCUAUUAUCCCCUUUGCAUAUUUAAGCUUGUAUUUAUAUACGAACAGAUUUUUCUCUUAGAUGAGGCGAUUUAAUGACAUUACCAGCAACUUAAAUUCCUAGGAUCAAUCAUGUUUUCAUGACAGGUUCAAUUGUUUGUUGCCAUAUUUUACUCUCAGCUUACUAUGUUAUCCUACCUUCCUGAACUGCAUUGUUGUUUACUAAAAUCUAUUUAGUAGUAUGACAAAAUAUGUUUGUUGUACGCAAUGUUUUCUGAUGUAGCUCUGAGGCCAUUCUCAUUGGAAAAUUUCAUAUUGACAAUAGAGCCAGAUAUGCAAUAGGGUAUAUUGAAAUGAUGAAUGAAAUGGUCCAGCAUUAUUAAGUCAUCCGAUUAAUCAGACUGAUCGCUCCUAUGACUCUGAUAUGACUCUGAUUAUGACUCUGGAGAUUCCUCUUGCAUUCUGUUAAAAAUAUAUGCCCUAGUAUUUAAUUGUGCAUGUUUAGCAUAGCUCUUAGCUUUUACGAACUUAAUCAGAUUAACAUCAACUUAGUUUACUAGGAUCAUGUUUUCACAAAAAGUUGAAUUGCUAUUUACCAGAUGUAAGUACAAACUGACAUUGUUGCCUAGCUUUCCUUAAAAAGUUAACUGUCAAAAACAAUUUGAGCAUAUGAUAAUAUAUCUUUAGUUUAUCAAUGUUUUCUGACGUGGUUAUAAACUUUUUGUCUGCAAACAUUCAGAGCACUCUUGAACUUUUCUGUCCUGCAGGAAAAAACCUUAUAGCAAAAUGUCUUGACCUUUACAUAUGAAUUCAUUGUUUGCUAUUAUAAUGUUUGCUUUAAAGUUUACUGGUCCAUGUUUAUUUUGUAUAGCUCUUAGUCUAUGAGACUUGGAACUUAGCCACAAGACAAAAAAAACAUUGUGCAAUAGGCCAGAUGGAUGAUACAAAGAAGGUUCUAUUGGUGGAUGGUGGCGACAUUGAUAAGAUACUAAGGCUGGCUACUCAAAACCUUCACUAUGUUAAUGUACUUCCUUCCAUUGUAAGUUCUAUGAUUUCAGUACUUGAGCUUUUGAGUAAUCAAACUAAGCGUUCUUUGCUGGGAAUAUCCUUUUCUGAUUAAAACACCAUUCUGCUUUCAUGAAACGCAGGGCCUCGAUGUUUACAGUAUCCUCCAGCAUGACACCCUUGCAAUGACUCAGGCCGCUCCGCUGGCAAGGAGCGUUCUGCGCAGAGCACUGUUGCUUACCACCGGCAACUUAAAGCCUGCGUUCGCGGUCCGCUGAUGAAGCUCGAAGAUUUCAAGUUAUCUCGGUGCUAACUUGGAGCUGCAAUAUCUACUGUUUAUUUUCUGUCAGACAGGAGUUACCGAGGUAGGGGGGAAAUGUUGGAACACUUCCGUGGCUUCUUCUUGCCCGGACUAUGAUGUCCUAGUUUUGUAAUUCAAUAAUAAUAAGAUAUGUAGCUCGUGAUUAUCAUCGAUGGCAUGCAAAAAUGAAGAGAAAGUGCUCUACGACAUUCAUUGCCUUUCCGUGCUGUUAAUCUGAGCCAAUUUUCUAUAUCCAAUAAAAACUGUUGCCCGGACAGCAGGUGUUGAACAGAUGGCCGGCAAGAGUAGCUGUAAUGGAGCAAAAAAUAGUAGUUCGAUCGUAAAAUCUAUUUAGGUUUGUUUAAGCUUUAACCUUGACUCAAUAUUUAGAAUUUCCAUGUAGGCUGACAACACACGGUUGACGUUAAUACAUUUGUUGAGAACAUAUAGUCCUUGCAAAGGAUUAGAAUACAGAGCAAUUGAUAAAAUGUGUAUAAAACUAUAGAGUAUUUAAAUGGACAUUGUGUUAUGAAUAAUACAGAAAAUGGUAAGAUAAUCAGUUUUGAUAAUUAGUUGUACCCACUAAAUUCAUCCACUAAACUUUAAUGUUUAGCUAGUAUAUAAGAUUUUAGAGCAUGUCGUAAUACAUAUUGAUAGGCUAGUUCAUACUAACAUGACAGAGCAAAAUCUGGAGUGCAAUUCUCACUCACAAUCACAAAGCCACAAAAGCUGGUCGUGAACCAUGAUUAGGGCCUAUUUGGUAGGGCUUCUCUUCGACUUCGGCUCUAGUUCCUUCGCAGCCUGCCAACAUUUUCAUGAAGGAGCCGUUUUUCCAAUAAAAAGUAGAAAAAACGAAGUUGUUUUAGAAAUUGUGACUCCUCUAAAACAGCUCUAGCUCGAAGGAGCCCUCGAGAGGAACCAUGCCAAACAUCCCCUUAAUUAGCUACUAGUUGAUUGGUUUAGGCCUUGUUUAGAUGUGAAAAAAUUUUGGAUUUCGCUACUGUAGCACUUUCGUUUGUUUAUGGCAAAUAUUGUCUAAUCAUAGACUAAUUAGGGUCAAAAGAUUCGUCUCAUGAUUUACAGGCAAACUGUGUAAUUAGUUUUUGUUUUUGUCUAUAUUUAAUGUUUCAUGCAUGUGUCGUAAAAUUCGAUGUGAUGGGAAUCUUAAAAACUUUUUGUUUUUUUACGUGAACUAAACAAGGCCUUACCCACACGACACAAGCACGAGCAACUAGACAUGACAGGAGUUGUGAGUGAGGAAUAAUCUAGAUCUAGUGACCAGACCACACGGCUUGAUUAAUGCGCUGGACGUUGGCAUGGAUAUUGCUAAAUUGAAGUGUAGUUGUACUAACCACAAUUAAAACCCCAUGCACGACGGGCACAGGGCCGGUUGAGGCUGUCUGGCAGAGCUGCUCCAGUACGGGCGUCGGGUGGACGUGACAGGAGUUGUUGGUCUCUCCCCGGGGCCCGGCCCGGCCGGGAAGCCUGGCACGACAGGGUUUUCUCUCACGUACGCAAGACCUAAUCCUGCCGUCCUGCGUGAGCUGAUUAACCGGACCAUGCGUGUACGUGAUAUAAACAAAACGAUAGGGGCAUAUAUAUAUCCAAGAGACCAAAGUUAAGCAGGUGUGGUUAGUACCAUUCAGAUUACUAAAAGCCUCAAAACGUCUCCUUGAACCUCAAGAUUAUGCAUACCUGCUCAAGUCAUAAGAAACUCUUCAAAAUAAAAACUGUAAAAUUAUUCAAAAGUAAAAACUCAUGAAACUGGUUUCAUUUUUUUGAGUUAUAACAAAUUAUGAAUUUUAGAUAUUAUUUUUUUUGUAUUGUUAAAUGCACGUUUAUUUCAAAUAUAUAUCUAGAUAUUUUUUUAAAAAAUCAUAAUUUUUUAUAAAGUCUAAUUGACCUCUCUAAACUAUUUUAAAAUUUUAAUUUACCUCUCUCAUAGCUAGCGUGGCGCUAUGUAGGACGGUUAAAGUGGUGCCACGUAAGCAACAAGUAAGGUAAAUUGGACGGUUUCAGAAAUUGUAGUAGCCUAAACAUCCCGUUUCUUAAUUGAGGCAGGUAAAUCAGACUCGCAAAAUAAUUGAGGGUGGUUAAAAGGACUUUUUCUGCUAAAAAUGAACCGCGGAGUGGAGGAGCCGACAGAACUGUUAACUGUUAUUAGAGGCUUCACUGACUCUUGCUACCGUACCACUAAAGUAUUGCUACAGUAAAGGAGUCAAAGCCAUAACCACACCGAACCAACCCCUGGCAGGCCCACUGCAGCCCUCUACACAACAUAUCGCCUAUACAGAGAGUGCUCCGGAGGAAAAGAAAAAUGUGCCCUUAAAUCUCUCUAUUUUUUGUACAAUUAAUUUAAGAAAUGCUUUUCUUCCCACAAUGAGGUCACCGAUUGGUACUUCUUUCGAAUUGUAAGAAAAAUAUGUCCACGUUGAACACCAUGCCAAUGUUGUUCAUAUGGUACCAUAUAUAUUUACGAAUAUAUGUAUUCAAUACACAGGUUAAUUUUAUAUCUAGUAUGUGAAUGUGAUGAUAAUUCCCCCAAGCGCUCCCCUUGGGUGACUCGGGGGGUGACCGCCGUGGCGCCCGUAGGCCCCCACCCCCUCCCGGCCCUCCCCUUCGGCCGCCUUAGCCGCCCACCGGCAUCCCUCUCCCCCUCCCAAUCCUCUCCCCCUCUGCGGUGGCCUGUAAAAUGGUACCCGCCGCGUCCUCCCCCCUCACUCCUACAUCCCUCUCCCCCUCCCAAUCCUCUACCACCAUGACUUCCUCGGUGCUUCUCCGAUGGGCUCCUCGGCCGAAGACCCGGAUCUAGAUUCCUCUAGACUGAAUUUGGUGUUCUCCUUGUUGGUGUGAUGGCGAGGGUCUGGCGGUUGGGCCUGGGCGGCGGCUUCUUCAUUGAGUUGGUGUGGCAAGCCUGGCGGCGGAUCUUGGGCUCACGUGUGCAGAUUUGGCGCCUGCAGCUCUAGUGCCGCCUUCGGGGCCUCUGGUUCUACACCGCCCCCUAUAGUCGCUGCCAUGGGGCGCUGGUGGAUGUGGCCAUUGCCUGGGCUGCACUUGAUUGGCGGCCAGUUCCGAGGUUGCCACUUAGCAUGUCAGCAUCCUCACCACGGGGGCCAUCAGUCACGGGCCGACAGCCUCCGUCAGAUGACGUGCUAUCACUAGAUCCAACUAUCGCUACUCGCCCUGAGCUCGGAUCCACGUAGUGUCGGUGUGUCGUGGCUGUCACUAGCCAUAGGGCCAGACUCGCAUGGGGUUAGAUUUGUCGACCAUGGCUCUCACCACAUGGAUGGUCGAUGCACUAGGGGCUGGUGCAAUGGGGCUCAUGGUGAAGUAGCGGUAGGCACAGGUUUUAGGUGAAAGCUCAACCCGGUUUCUACCUAUGGGCGACGGUGAUGCCUUGGGCGCAAAUAGCUCCUUGGAGGCGUCGCUUCUAAACCUCGUGCUUUUGUGCCAACAUCACCGGAUUCUGGGCGAAAGCCCCGCCUUAGAACCCUCUAAGGCCAGUGAUGAUGGCAUCUAGGGUCGUUCUCUUGGGUGCCACCUCCUUCCUGAAGGCGCUGCUGAAGAAUCCCCUACAGCCAAUCGCUUGUCCCCCGUGUGGUCGGUGUAAUUUGUGGUUCUGACAGUUCUCUUCAAGUGGAGUUGCUCUUUGUGCCUGUGUGUGCCUUCACUCUACUCGCUUGGGUCUAUCCUACAACUCUUGACCUUGUCGUCAUCGUCUUGCUUCUCUGACGGAUGCUUUGUCGUCGUUGUCAUUGGUAUCCUCUCCGACAUUUGGUGCCGAGAGUGUCACGGCCGCUCCCCUCUAGGGAUACUUUGUCGUAGGGGGUCGCUUCUUCCCCGGCGAUCCUUGCCGUCAGCGGAACUCUUGGUGGAUGCUUUGUGCGUCGUUGGCUCUUGGGUCCCCUCUCUGGUAGAUGCUUUGCUGCCGAGAGCGUGUGGACCCUCUUUGUUAGCGGAUGCUUGGCCUCCAUGGUCGCUUGGUCUUCGUUGGCGGAUGUUUUGCCGUUAGAUGCUCCUAUGUCUUAUCAGGGUGGAUGCUUUGCCACCACGGCUUGGUUUAUCUUUGGGCAAUUUUUAUUGCAGGAUUAGUUGUAGAUCUUUAGUGUUGAGGGCAGUCGCUUUUCUUUCUUCUCUUCUUUUGUUUCUAUGUUUAUUCCUUUAUGUUGUCUCCAAGACGUGUACGACUCCUCGCCGUGACUCUCUUAAGAGGUUGUAAACUUUCCCACUUCUCUUAAUGAAGCACAUGCUAUUGCACAUUUUCGAAAAAAAGAAUGUGAUGAUAAGCAACUUUAUUUACGGCAUUCGAAGUAACUUUUACUUUUGCGGAAGGGAUAGGACAUACUCCUACUAUAGGCGGUGUGCCCAUUCUCAAAGAUACCACAUAGUAGGAGAGAAGCAAAAAAGAGUAUAAGGUCUUGCUUAGUUCCAAAUUUUUUGCAAAAUGGACACUGUACCACUUUCGUUUAUAUUUGACAAAUAUUGUCCAAUCAUAGACUAACUAGACUCAAAAGAUUCCUGUCGCAAAAUUACAUGUGAACUGUGUAAUUAGUUUUUAUUUUCAUUUGUAUUUAAUGCUCUAUGCAUACGUCUAAAUAUUCGAUGUGACGGAGAAACAAGGCCUAAGUAGAAGUUAUUAAAAAAAAGAGCAACUUUAGGGUAAUCUAUUACCAUGCAUGUAAUAUAUGCAGCUUUCGGUACGCCUACUAAACCAUGAUUGCGUAUACAUCAGGCUAAAAGUAAAUAAUUAACCGAUCGGUCGACUGUUGCUGACAUAUGAUUAGUAUUUCCUCCUGCGCGUCGCGUUCUGCAUGCUGGCUAGUGGCUAGUGGCUAUCUUGCAUUGCUUGCUUGAUUUUGACCGGCCGGAGAUCGGAGUAGUUUUGGUCGGCCGCCAUGCCCCAAGCUGCCGAGUUGUGAAUAGUUCGUGUCCUUUCGACGCUGACGUGGACGCGUAGCAAGUCUACCUGCCCAUGGCCAAACGCGGUUAAACAUGUCGGCUUAUUAUUUGUCUAAUCACUUUGUCCGGCCUUGGUUGCAUCAUUAGGUGGCUGUGAUAUGUGUGCAUACUGACUGCACACGUGUGGGGUCAACAGUCUAGGUAGCUAGUACUGCAUGCAUGGUAGGUCAACUUCUUCGAGCAUCGCAAAACUCGCACCUAGUACUCAUAUUUUUAUUUAAAAAAAGAUGUGUAUUAUUCACCAUAUUACUACUAGAAUACUGGCCGGUGCUGGUUGUAUCGGCGUGGUUGGAAAAACCGAGAAAGAUACUGCGCGAGAGAAGUCAACUGUUGUAUCUUUUAGUAUCUGCGUAUGCAUGUGACGUUCACAUACAGCCGUGCCAUUGCAAGAGUGUAAGACAUCCAUGGAAACACACGAUGUGCUCUCGCAUAUAUAAGCAUAGCGAAAAAUGUCGGGAGAAAGCAAAAGAAAAACUGGCUACUUACGGUUCGGUGCAGUACUGAAGCUAUACAAAGCACGACUAGGGGUGCAAAUGAGUGAUGAUUAGGUGCACCUCUAAACCUUUUUAGUUUAAAUAUUUAUACUAUUUUUCUAAAAAAAUUAAAAAGUAGUACAAAUAUUUAAACUAAAAAGGUUUGGAGGUGUACCUGAAGGUUACCCCUUUGCACCCCUAAGCACGACCCAGUGUUCCACUCGGCGUUGUUUGGCCGCGCUCGCCAUGGAUAACAUCAUGCAUGCACACUGUCCUACGUAGUUUUUCCUUUAUCUUAUAAGACGUACUCUUUCUAUUUUAAAUUAUAAGAUAUUCUAAAAAUUUUGGAGAGUAAAAAUAUUUUAAAUUUGACCAAAUGUAUAUGAUAAUAUAAUAACACUUAUAAUAAUAACUAAGUAUAUUAUUAGGUUCACAAAUAGGAUGGACGAAGAUCAAUGUUGAUGGUUCGUACCAAGAACAAUCCAGAGCGGUUGGAGUUGGGGUUAUCUCCAGACACAGCAACGACGUUGUUCUAUUCACAGUCUGAAGGUACUAUGAGAAAUGUGUUAGCGUGCCAGAGGUGGAAGCUUUGGCCUGUAUCGAAGUCUUACGUUGGGCACACCAUUGAAGUCUUGCUCACUUAAAUAUUGAGACGGAUUGUGCUAGAAUCAAAUCAGCACUAAACAGUAGUGCCCAGACAUAUCAGAGGUCGGACCCAUUAUUAAAGAAGUGAGAUGCUAGAUACGUUUGAUGUGGGAGUGCAGCAUCUCCCAGAUGAAGAGAGAUGGUAAUAAUGUGACGAAUGCUUAAGCUUUAUAUGCUAGAAAAUGUAAACACUAUGCGGCUUGGUUGGUUCAAGCCUCCUGCAUGUGCCUUGAACUCAAUCAGUGCUGAUUGUAAUUCCCUAUUUGUAGCUAAUAAAUCUCUCUCUUCACUCAAAAAAAUUAUUAUUAGGUUUUUUAUUAAUUAUAUUUUCAUAGUAUGUCUAUUUGAUUCAUAAAUCUUUAUAUUUUUUUCUAUAAUUUUGGUCAAACAAGAUCAUGUUUACUUGGCUGAUAAGCUAUGGCUGAAAUAUUGUUCGCUGAUUUGUUGUAAGAGAAAAACACUGCUUAAUGACUGACAGAUUCGACAUAUAAGCUCAAUGCUCUCAAAGAUUCUUAGAAUACCUUAUACUUUAGAAUAGAGGGAGUACUUUUUGUACCAGCCAACAAUGUUUUCUCUUAUAAUAAAUCAGCAAAACAAUACUUUCAGCCAUGAUUUUUCAGACAAGUGGAUAGACUUAUUAUGUAGUACAUGCCUUGUUUAGUUCCCUUACGAAAACUUUACGGGCUAUUGUAGCACUUUUGUUUGUAUGCGGCAAUUAUUGUCUAAUUAUAGACUAACUAGACUUAAAAGAUUUGUCUCGCAAAUUACAAAUGAACUGUAUAAUUAAUUAUUUUAUCUGUAUUUAAUGUGUGUCGUAAGAUUUGAUGUGAUGAGAAAUCUUAAAAAGUUUUUUUUUUUAUCUUUUAGCUUUUGGGAGGAACUAAACAAGGCCACAGUCAUAACCGGUUAUUGACAUACCGAACAUAGGAGUAUGCAAUAGCAGCAGCACCCACGAUCUCAGCACGCUUUGAUGUAAUUAAUGAACCCAAUUAGUACUGCUAUUAAAUAAAUCGACGAUCACCUGCUGCUGCUACGCCUGCCUGCAAAGUCAAGAGCUUGGAGACCAGACAGUCCAUAGAGAGACAACCUUAUGCCAGUGCCUGCCUCGUAGACCCGUUGCACGCACGGGGCCACACCGCCAGAGCAGCAUCUGCAUCCUGGCACGCCCAGGCCAAGUUCGCCGGUCCAUGCGGCCGGUGCAGCGAGGCGCGUGGCCUGGUGGUGGCAGAGCCGUUGGGAUCGGUUGGCUGCCUCCGCGCCACCGUUGGUUGCUAGCGGGUCGGCACGGCCACACAACGCACGGAUCUGAGUGCGGAGUGCCGCGCUCCCGUCCACAUCGCGCACCACCCCAGUCCACCACCACCACCACCACUAGCCGUUAUGUCCGCCUGGUUUCCCUGGCCCUGUUCCAUGAAUUCUUUGUUUUUCAAUAAAAUAUAUAAAUCCUUCCCAUCCCGUCUUUUUUUUUGCACAAACACACACACAUCGUGAUAAAUGAUGCUUUGUAGCUUUAAGAGCGUUGAAAUUGAAUAUAAGGGCUACUUAUUACUAGCUACCUAAAAAUUAGUCAAAAAUUAGCUCUAGUGUGUCUAAACAAGAGGGCAUAUCUAAGAACAUGUUUGGAUCAAUUAGCUACUAAUAGUUAGUUAGUUAGUUAGUUAAUACUCCCUCCAUAUAGAAAAAAAUCAAAUCCUAAAGUUGUCCUAAAUAAUUUUUUUAAAACUUUGACUAGAUUUCUAGAAAAAAAUACUAAGAUUUAUGAUAUCAAAUUAGUAUCAUUAGAUUCAUUAAAUAUAUUUUUUAUAAGAUGUGCAUUUUAUGUCAUAGAUAUUGUUACUUUUUUCUAUAAAAAUCAAACUUUAAAGUUUGACUAACACGGAUUCUAGGAAUUGAUUCUUUUGCGGACAAAGUGAGUAGGUCAUAACUAUUAACAUCUGCUAUUAACUAUUUUGGUUCAACUUAUGAAUUAAUUGUAGUUAACUAUUCAGCUAAGAAUUAGCUAAACUAUUAACUAGACCUAUUUAGAUUUAAGAAACUAAGAACAUAUUUGGGUCCCCUCCUCUAAACUUUAAGCUCUAAAAACUUUAGAGCAGUUUAACGGAGUUUUAAGAUCUAAAGAUGUAAUGUGAGGUGCACCUAAAGUUUAGGACUAACUUUUAGAUCACUUGUUUGGAGAUUUUAGCUCUAAAAUUUAUUGGAUGUCUAAAGUUUAGAGGAAUGGAUCCAAACAACCCCUAAGUAUUAAACAUCUGAACCUACUCAUGCGUAUCAAACAGACUGUAAAUAUAAAAUUAUAGCCCCAACUAGCAACUAGUCAAACAUGCACUUAAUAUCAUAUUGUUAAUUAAUUUGAAGGAAACACGGAACCGACUCUAUGCCUAGCACAAUCCAAGCCAACAAAUAAAAACUCACACACAUGUGAAAAAUGGGGUUAAUUUCCGGUUAUGAUUUCACGUGCAAACCACACAUGUAGAACCCAGGCAGGCUCUAAACAUUCGUUAAAGUUCAUAUCAGAAAAAAAUAACGCAGUAAAAUGUGGUGGUGGUCGCCUCAAGACCGAUCUCAUUUCCAUAUAUUGAGGCAGGUGCUUGUUGGCCCAAAGAAGACUCAUGCUUUUCAUCGUUUUAUUCUAAACAAAUCGCUGAAUUUAACGUGGCAUUAUUCUUUGCACAUGCAAAAUCACUUAAAGGUACUAAUGUACUUGCUCACGCCAAUGGGCGGAAAAGCAUCGAUACUUUUAGUGGCGGGUGGUCAACAAUAUUGGUAACCGGCCCUUUUGUUAGCCUGAAUACAACAAGACAUGAUAGAUUAUGCAUGGCCAAAUUAUUUGUCAUUUUGGGACACCAUAUAUAUAACAAGCAAAUUCUUCAAAACAAAGCCAAGUUACGGACUACUAGAGAUUUAUUAAAUGAUUUUACUCUGUUCUACUAGCUGUUUUUUGGUUAAUAAUGUUAAUUUAUUGUGAGAAAAAAAUACAGUUUCAUAUCUGAAAAAUAGAAUUAAUUUUGGUUGAUAAGCUCAAUACACGUAUGUGUUCGUUUUCACCAAGAGUGCGUGUCUUAAUUUUCUUAUCUACUCCUGUCCAUGGAUUUCCCGCCUCCCUUUUUGGUCUUUUUCAAAUGUAACCUUCUACGUACUCUUUUUGUGCGACUGUAGUAUUCUGCUAAGGUCUUGUUUAGAUGCAAAAAGUUUUUGGAUUUUGAUACUGUAGCACUUUCAUUUUUAUUUGACAAACAUUAUUCAAUCAUGGAGUAAUUAGACUUAAAAGAUCCGUCUCACGAUUUACAAGCAAACUUUGCAAUUAAUUUUUGUUUUGUUUAUAUUUAAUGCUACAUACAUGUAUCGCAAGAUUUGAUGUGACAGAAAAUCUUAAAAAGUUUUGGGUUUUUGAAAUUACCAAAAGUAGUAUAUGCAGAGAGUGACGUAUGCAGGGCCGCGGCUAUAUCCAUCGGAAUUCAGACCCUUUUUUACCGUUGACCAUGUGUGGCAGGAUUGGUAGGAUCCACCAAGUUUGACUCUUAAAAGUCUCUGUGUUGAUUAAGUGUUACCACUUCACCAAAACCGGGCCUUGUUUAGUUUAAUUUUUUUUAGAUUCUCCAUCAUAUUAAAUUAUGCGGUGCAUGCAUAAAGCAUUCAAUAUAAAAUAAAAUAAUAACUAAUUAUAUAGUUUGUCUGUAAUUUUCGAGACAAAUCUUUUAAGUCUAAUUAGUUUAUGAUUGUCAAAUAUAAACGAAAGUGUUACGAUAUCUAUUUUGUAAAUAUUUUUGGAACUAAACAAGGCCCGGAUCAUUGUGUAACUGUCGUCAGAUUCUACUGCCAGAGGAACCCUGAAGUAGUGCUUGCUAGUAUCAGAUAUCUGGCCUUGUUUAGUUCCUAAAAAAUUUUACAAAUUUUUUUUCAGAUUCUUCGUCACAUCGAAUUUUUAGACGUAUGCAUAAAGUAUUAAAUAUAGAUGAAAAUAAAAACUAAUUGCAAAGUUUGGUCGAAAUUGACAAGACGAAUCUUUUGAGCCUAGUUAGUAUAUGUUUGGCUAAUAUUUGUCAAAUACAAACGAAAGUGUUACAGUGUCAAUUUUCCAAAAUUUUUUGGAAAACCUUCCAUUUACCGAACAUGUGCUAUCCAUCCGAUACACAAAAUUGGUAGGGUACCACAGCCGGUACAUUUUCUUUUUAUAAAACGGAAAGUGUUCCGAUAGAUUGCAUAUUGCCCAAAAAAAAAUCCAUGCUUAUACUUGUUUAAAGCAUCUUAUAGAUAUAACCCCUUCCUCAGGAAAAAAAAAACUCUAAAAAAAUUGGGACGAAACGGACAGAGGCUGAUCGAGUUGCCGUACGUUCUUAUCCAUCCAUGCAACGUCCGCGUGUCGACAGUUUAUUUCUUUAUCCAUCUAUCUAAUCUAUAUAUAAGUUCCGGAAAAAAGAAAUUAAAAUUCGUUGGCGUGCAAGCUGAAAACCAGACACCACGAAAUAAAAUACUGAGGAGAGCGGAGACAAAGAAAGAAAAUUAAGUGUGCGAAACUUUAUUUUAAAAAAACGGUUACGAUACUUAUUAUCUUUUUUUUUGUGGCAAUACUUAACUAGCAUCGUAGCUGUAUUUCUAUUUGCUAGAUCCUUGGAUGUUGGCACGAAUAGUAGAGAAAAUUGCGUGUGGAAAGAGCUAGCUUCCUCCCGAUCGAUCUAGUACCACAAAAUCUUGGAGGUCAAAGGUCAGUGUUGAAGCUUGAAACAGUCGUCCAAAACGAAACGGAUGUAGUCUGGGCUUGUAGUGUAGUUUAGGACUUUAGGGCCACUCGUGUUCUUUUUUUAUUAGAAAAAAAAUCUUUUAGCUAAUGGAUUACUCAACUCUUGAUCAUCAAAUUUGGUUGGUGGAUACAUGUUCCUCCAUAAUGUUUUGGACAUAAUAAAGAUGUAGAAUUACAGAUUUUACUCAAGUCUACAAUUUAUCUUCUUUUCUUUUGCAAAUCCUAGUACAUACGUUCAUGCAUGAACAUUCACCCAUCGUAAAAAAAAUGAAUCAGUAAAUCUUGAGAUUCAUAAAGUAUGUUUAUUGUCGAUGGGUACUCGUGUACUACUAGAAGAACAACAUCAUCAUUAACACACCGAAAUAGAUCAGGAAAAAAAAUACGUGUGAGAAUCCAUGAUAUUCGUUCACUUGUCUUCCAAGCCGUAUUUUUUCUACCAACCAACAGUGUUGUUCUCUUAUAAUAAAUUAGUGAACAGUAUUUUCAGCCAUAAUUUUUCAGACCAACGAACAUGAUCCAACAAACUAAGCUACCAUGGGUUAAAAAGCAUGUAAUGUAAUGUAACUAAAGGUGUACGAUAGCAAAGGACGACCCACCACCAUUUUUUAUGAAAAAUAGUACUAAUCUGAUGCCAUUCAAUUUCGUAGAAACCAUUCGUUGCAACCACCCAAUUCACCUAUCGCUACUUGUGAAACACUAUUAACGGGCACAACCAAUGUGUACGUCGGCAGUAAAUUGGCCACCACCCCACGCACGCGAAUUCCUUUCCCACCCUCCAUCCCUCCUCCCCUCGUGCAACUGAAACCGCGUGCGCCUCCGCCGCCACGGCCACGGCCACGGCCACGCGCUCGCCGACUCGCCGCCCGCCGCCGUCCACUCGCGCGCCGGCCCUGGCCCGUGCACUCGUCAUGGACUCAUGGCCACGUAGGGCGUGUUUGGUUCCCCGCAUGCGGGCGAACCUGGCCCGUGGGAUGCAACCCGCACCUGUUUGGUAGCCUGCCUCCCCCUCCUAGCCAGGCUCCUCUCGUGCAAAUCCUCCUCUCGGGCCUGGCUCAGAAACAACGCCCGAUUUGGGCGUUCUUCUUCAGCCUGGCUCGCUCGAUGCUCUGGCGAGCGCGCGCGCGUGCCCAUCCGUGCACGCAGAGAUGGCGCGAAAUUGUUAGGGUUACCUCCCCCGUUCCCGCCAUUCACCGUCUAUAUAUCUUCCUUCCCGCCUCCUCUCUUCCUCUUCUUGUCGCUCCCCAUAUGCGCCGCCGGUUCGUGCUCCAUCUAUUCUUCCUCUUGUCCGCUGUCGUUCUUGCUUGAUUCGUGCCAAAUUAAUACUUCUCCUGUGUCUCGAUUUGUUGUAGGUGAAGUGGAUCUGAAGGUUCUCCAUUGAAGUGAUUUUUCCCCUAAUUUUUCUCGAUUUUGCUCUCCGAUUUGGAAACCGUAGGUCACCUUUUGUUGUUGCUCUCAUUGCAGGGACACCAGAUCUGCUUUGUUGGCUGUUUUUGCGGUAUGGAUCUGAGUGCUUAGGUCUUUUUUUUUGUUAUUUUGUAAAAAUCCAAUCUUUUAUAUGCUAAUCCCCUUUGCUUUGCUUUGUUUUUGUGUUUGCAGAUUUGUCCUCCCUCACCUGCUGUUGGGCUUUGGCUGGUGGCCCUGCUUGUUGACGUGGGUAUUUUGUACAUCUAUAAUCCCCCUCUCGCCUCUCUAUCUUGGAUUCGGAUGCAUGUCCUACUUUUUUAGAUUCUGAGCAAGUAUAUUAAGUUGCCCUUUUUUGCUGAGCUAUUGCCCUAGUCUAUGAUGAUGAUAAUUUUUUUCUGAGCUAUUGCCCAAGUCAGUGAUGAUUUGUGACCUAAUCUGAGCAUAUGUCAAGUUUUGGUAUAGCUUAAGUAUUUGUCGUUAAAAUGCAUUUUUUUUCUAGAUGGACCUGGAAGAGAAGCGACGCAUUCUUUUUGCUCGUGCUGGUGCUCUUAUCACGGCUAUGUAUGCCCUACUGUUUGCUAGGCUUAGAAUGAUUCAGUGUGAGCGUCCUGAGAUCAGUUAUGGUCCAAUGAGCAUUUGGGAUGAGGAGCGCCAAAGGAAUCUGAACUUAAUUUAUAACUACAAUGACAUAGAGUGUGUGAACAUGCUUCGUAUGAGAAGGGCCCCCUUUUUUAGUUUGUGCAACUUGCUUAGGGACAAAAAACUACUCGCAGACAACAUAAAUUCUUGUGUUGAAGAGCAACUUGCAAUGUUUCUUCAUAUUGUCGGUCAUAACCAACGAUUUAGAGUUGUCAAGCAAAACUGGAGAAGGUCUAUAGAGACAGUCCACCGCCACUUCAAAGAUGUCUUGUAUGCUAUUGGUGAACUUAGACAAGAGAUGAUUAGACCUCCAAGCAAUGACACACCACUAAAGAUUAGCAACAGCCAUAGAUGGUAUCCUUACUUUAAGGUAAAAAAAUUGUCAUAUAGCUGUUAGGAUUGUUGCAUUAGAUCAUGUUAAUUUACUAUAAAAUUUUGGAUGCCAUGUAGGAUUGUAUUGGGGCCAUUGAUGGGACUCAUGUCUAUGCUAAAGUUCCAGCCAAGUUGCAAGCUGCAUUUAGGGGUAGAAAGAAUGCCCCCACUCAAAAUGUGCUAGCUGCAGUUAACUUUGACUUGAAAUUUACCUAUAUCCUUGCUGGUUGGGAGGGAUCAGCACAUGAUGCCACAAUUCUUGCUGAUGCAUUGCAGAGGCAUGAUGGGUUAAGGGUUGCACCAGGUAACUAAAUCAAUUGUACACAUUCUGUGUCAUUCAUCACAUCUGAAGGAACCAUAAACUUUACUUAGCAACAAUUGGGUCUAUGACUCAAGGUGAUGGCAAGAAGUUUAUGGUCCUCCAGAUGCCAUGGGUGCCACAAACGUUUGGAAUUUGCAUUAUAGCUACCAUGAACCUGAUUGUUUUUAAUAUUUAUUUUAGGGAAGUUCUACUUAGUAGAUGCUGGAUAUGCUGUAAGACCUGGAUUUCUCCCUCCUUAUCGAGGCACUAGAUACCAUCUAAAAGAAUAUGGCAAUAGGAAUUACCCAACCAACCCCAAAGAGUUAUUUAAUUUGAGACACUCUAGUUUGAGAGUAACUGUUGAGAGGGCUUUUGGUGCUUUGAAGAAUCGUUUUCGCAUCAUUGACACUAACAAGCCAUUCCAUCCGUUGAGGUCACAAGUCAAGUUAGUUCUUGCUUGUUGUAUCUUGCAUAACUGGAUUCUCAGUUUUGGGGUCGAUGAGGUAGUUCCAGAAGAGUUUUCUUGGGUCCCAAAUGUUACUAAUAGUCAGCCCCCUCCUGCUCAUAUGGAUGACAAUGCAGCUUGGGCACUAAAGAGGGAUGAAUGGUCCAACCAUAUGUGGGCAAAUAGGGGUCUUUCAAGAAUCUAGGCAUGUUUGAGUGCUUUGUAACAUUAACAUUUUUUUUAUCAUUACUGCUAUUGUAAGAUUGUUCCUUUUUAUGUGGCACUACACUUGAUCUGAGGCUUUGGGCAAAAGCAAUGAUGUUCCUUUUUUUAUGGUACUACACUUGAUCUGAGACUUUGGGCAAUAGCAAUGAUGUUCCUUUUGUGCAGUGACUGCAUGAACAUGGUGGUCUUUUGAUGCAGUUCCUGGCCCUGUGGAGUGGUGGCUGCUUUUGUGCAUACCUAACUACAGUUGGUGGCUGUGUAGUGGGUUGACCUUCUCUUUUGUGCAGUUGAUCUGAUCCUGCAUUCUUUACUUACUAACACUAACAUAUAGUUAGUGUCUUAGAAAACCCUGCCCCUACUCCCUAGAUCAACCUAGCUGGUGGAGUCAUUUGAACAAUGUGAUGGCAAUCUGAGCAUAUGUCCAUAGCCUAUGUUGUGAACUUUGUUAUCGUGAUGUUUAUUUUGGGCACAUGCCUUAUUGCCUUUGAUGUUUCUUUUAUUAUAUCUGAGCACAUGUCCAUUGCCUGUGAUGUUGUUUGACUGAUCUGAGCACAUGUCCAUUGCCUGUGAUGUUUUUGGCUGAUCUGAGCACAUGUCCAUUGCCUGUGAUGUUUUUUGACUGAUCUGAGCACAUGUCCUUUGAUGGUUGUUUGGCCUAUGAUGGUUGAAAAUACAUUCUGAGGUGGCUUUGUUUCUCAGUUUUAUCAUGACUGUCAUCAGGACAUGGGAUACGUCCAUCCCCAAUGCAACAGGUGUAUAAUUUGGCACCUGAUGGCUGAGGAUGGCGUAUCCCAUGGCCCCAUGGCAGCCAUGAAUGUUAUAUUGUACCAGAUUGACUCAUUUUUUGCCACCAAGGAUGAAUGUCAAUAUACUCAUUUAGUUGGGAAACCAAAACACCUGAGGCCCCUUCCACAUCUUCAUGUUGCCUUGUUUUAUGUUUGGCCUAUGUUGAUUUAUGUUUGAAUGUAGGGGGAUGGCAUGGUAUGUUGUUCAUGUUGGGAGGGUUCCUGGAGUAUACUCUAGUUGGGCAAUGGCACAUGAACAAGUGCACAAAUACCCUGGGAAUUGCUACAAAAAAUACAGCACAGAAGAUGAGGCAAUGCAAGCUUUCAAUGGUGCAAAUGUGUUGGAUCCUCAAGAUGCCCCUCUACUUCUACCACUGGAGCAACCUCUGCUCCAACCAACUGACACUGAAGCACCUCAAGUUAUCCAAUAUAAUUGGAGUGGCAUUUGGGUCAAAGUUUUAAUAGCAAUAGUUAUUGUAGCGUUGUUAGGUUAUCUGCUUUUAAAGAUGUUGUAAUCUCAUUUUAUUUGCUUGUAAUCAGCUCAAAACUAAGUGAGCACUAAAAAAUGGUAAAGACUGGUGGUAACCAUACCACAACCAGGAAGUGGUAACUCCACCACCAUGCAUGCAGGCAACCAAACACCGUUUCUGCAUGUCCACAUUUUGAAUCUUCCGAAUAAGAAGUGAACCAAACACCAUCUUCAACUGGUCAGGCUGCUGGAAACCAGCCAACCAAACAUGCACCCCUGCAUGCACUUAGCCUGGGCAAAGAUGUCCUGGCUGGGCGGAUGCAGCCUGGCUCAGGGCAUAGGGCAACCAAACACGCCCGUAGUAAACCCGUAAAACCAAAAGUGCCGGUGCCACCCCGCGAAAGAGGUAGCAAAAAGAAAAGCCAUGUCGCGAGCACAAACGCGCCAGCCACUGGCAUGGACCAGCGGCGCAGGCACUCCGGCCGGGGCCCCAGUGCGUGACGCCGCACGACGCCAUCGGUCGCACGCACCAGGAGGUUUGCGGCACCACACCAGCACUCGGCACUCGGCAGUCGGCAGCGGCAGAGGGGCCCCAAGCCCAAGCCCAAGGCUACGCUACGACCACACGACACGGGAUUCCGACGCGAUUAGCCGCGUGCUCUGCUUAUCCGGCGGAUGCCGCCCUUGAUCCUUCGUUAACACUGGAGCUCUGAUGCGCGUCGUCGUCUUGUUCGCGACAGCGAAGGAAGCGGGGGGGAGUUGGUAGUAGAUCGAUAAAAGGGCGGCGUCUUUGUUUCCCAUCUUUCCUCACAAAAGCGAGAGACCCUGGUGGGGUGGGGGAUCACAGACAGACAGAGCAGCGGCUGCCCGGCGGCACCACAAAAAGCGUUCGUCGGGGCUUUGGAUUCCCAGGAAUUCCGUUCCAAAGCACCGCAGCACCCGCAGCAGCAGCCGAAUCGCGGGACCCCGACGCGCGCGCCGGACCGCCUGCGCACACCACCGCACAGCGCACGCACGCACGCACGCACGCCUACUCCUCUUCCUCCCCUCCCCUCCCCUGUCCCCUCCUCCAACCGUCCGUCACCCUCCUCCCGCCGCGCAGCAGCCAGAGCAGAGCGGAGCGAGCAAAUCCUGGGGCCGGGGGGGCUUUCGCACCCGCUCCGAUCUCCCCGGUGCUGGUGGAUUCGCUCGCUCCCCUUUUCUUGACGCCGGGUCGGGUUGGGUUGGAUUUGGUUGCGAGGUGAGGAGGUGUGGUUGAGGGUGGGAGAGGAGAGCGAGCUCGCGCGCUCGGGUGGUGGCGGAGUGGUUACUACUGCUUCCCCGCUUGGCUUCUUGCUCGCGCCCCGCUGGGCUGGGCCGUGUCGUGCCAUUAAAGCCGGCGCCUUUGGGUUUUCUUCUCUCUCCACCUCUCUCUAUCCGCCCCCGCUCUCCCACUCCCCUCUCCCUCUCUAGCUCCAGAUUGGUGCCUUCCUUCCCCCCGUCCUCCUAGCGGUCGGUGGUUGGAGCUCGACUGGGGCUCUGAGGUCCAAAUCCGCCGCCUUCCCGUGGCGCGCCCCUCCGGAAUUCUUGCCUUCUUGGGCUCCGAAUCUCGCCGCCGGUCCCCGCCGCGGGGGGGAGUUUGAUUCGCGGCGUUUCUUGCCAAUUCGGGGGUGAUUUGGGCCCCUGGAUGGCGAGGAUUUGAGUGGAUUCGUCGAGGGGAACAAGUGGAGGUGGGGUUCUGAUUUGGUUCGCCACUUCGCCGUGGUAUGUGCCAUGAGGAAGCUCUUCUUCUCCGAGUCGGCCUGCAAGGAGACCAAGCUCCACUCCGCGCCCCACUCAUGGCUGCCCCUCGAGAGGGGGAAGCUCUCCAAGUUCUCCGGCCAUGCCGCCGCCAGCUCCUCCAUGUAAGCCCCCCGCCCGUCGUUUGCUCUGCCGUACCUGAUUUCCGGGUUGAUUUCACAAGAUUGUGCUCUUUUAUGCCUCAAUUGUGUCGCUCAAGACUCGAUCUUGUCUUGGGUUCUGAUGUCGAUUUGGCUGUGAAGAAGAAUUGGCUGAUUGAGAUGUUCAUCCUCUUUUGUCUGUGCUGCAGAGAUUCCUUGAUGAAGAUGCCGGAGCCGGCGGUGCUUCCGCACUUCAAGCCGGCCGACUAUGUCGACAUACUGGCACAGAUACACGAGGAGCUGGAGUCCUGCUCUCCUGACGAGAAGUCCUGCCUGUACCUGCUCCAGUUCCAGGUCUUCCGCGGCCUUGGUGAGGCCAAGCUGUCGCGGAGGAGCCUCCAGUCCGCGUGGGAGAAGGCGAGCACCAUCCACGAGAAGCUCAUCUUUGGGGCGUGGCUCAAGUAUGAGAAGAAAGGGGAGGAGGCCAUUGCCGACCUGCUUAGCUCGUGUGGCAAGUGCUCGCAGGAGUUCAGGCUGCUGGAUUUCGUGUCGCAGGUCUCCACUGGGUCACAUGUGAUGAGCUAUGAUGAUGAUGAUGAUGAGUCUGAUGAGUUUCAGGGUUCUGCGGUGGUUCAUUUCCGGAUAAGAGAUGACAUGAUUGCAUGUGAUCGGAGGAAGCUCGCGGCUUUGUCAACUCCGCUUUAUGCAAUGCUUAACGGUGGAUUUAGGGAAUCGUAUCUGGAGGUCAUUGACAUGUCUAGAAAUGGCAUCUCCCCAAUUGGCAUGAGGGCAAUCAGUAAAUUCAGUCUAUCAGGAAGACUACCAUACUUGUCCGCUGAUGCUAUCUUGGAGAUGCUUGAUUUUGCCAAUAAGUUUUGCUGCAAGGGCCUCAAGGAUGCCUGUGAGCGAAAGCUUGCUUCUUUCGUCUCUUCAAGGCAAGAUGCUAUAGACUUCAUGGAGUGUGCUCUUGAGCUGGGCUGUUCCAUCCUUGCUGCUUCGUGCUUGCAAGUGCUCUUGAAUGAGCUUCCAGAGUGCUUGAAUGAUGAACAAGUGGUUAGGAUAUUCUCCUCUGCAAAUAAGGCACAGAGAUUGACAAUGGUUGGCAAUGCAUCUUUCUCCCUAUAUUGCCUUCUUAGUGAAGUCUCCAUGAGUACCAACCCGACAUCGGAUGUCACUGUAAGUUUCUUGGAAAAGCUGGUAGAGUCAGCAUCAGAUUCUAGGCAGAAACAACUAGCCUUACAUCAGCUGGCAUGCACCAGAUUUCUAAGGAAAGAUUACCCUGAAUCUGAGCGCCUGUUCAAUGCUGCCUUUUCUGCCGGCCAUCUCUAUUCGUUAGUGGGUUUGGCUAGAUUGGCCGCUCUGAGGGGUAAUAAGCAUUUUGCUCUCAAGUUUCUAGACUCUGUUAUGUCAUCUCGGUGGCCUCUUGGUUGGAUGUAUCAAGAGAGAGCACUAUAUUUGGAAGGUGAUAACAAGUUAGAAAAUCUUAACAAGGCUACAGAGUUGGACCCUACUCUUACAUAUCCCUAUAUGUUUCGAGCUGCAUCUUUGAUGAAAAGGCAAAGUGUUGAAGCUGCAUUGAUGGAGAUCAACCGGAUCCUUGGAUUCAAGCUGGUGCUGGAGUGCUUAGAACUGAGGUUCUGUUGCUACCUUGCUCUUGAGGAUUAUAGGGCUGCCUUAUGUGACGUGCAGGCAAUCCUCACUCUUGCCCCAGAUUAUCGUAUGAUUGGUGGCCGGGUUGCUGCCAAGCAGCUGCGAAUGCUAGUGCUAGAGAAUGUAGAGCAGUGGACAGCUGCUGACUGUUGGAUGCAACUUUAUGAUCGCUGGUCAUCUGUGGAUGAUAUAGGGUCCCUCUCUGUUAUAUAUCAAAUGCUGGAGUCAGAUAAUGCCAAAGGAGUUUUGUACUUUAGGCAAUCUUUGCUUCUUCUCAGGUAAAUAAAUUAAUUUAUGUUAUUCUUAGAAGAAUAGUUUGCCUAAUCCAGUAUUAUAGAGUAACACAAUAAUGGUCACAGUAGAUGCUCAUGCUAUUGCACAUGGUUUGGCAACUUGGCGUCUUGGCAUGUCUUACACCAACUAGUAUCAUGUGUCUGAAAGCUGGAAUGUUCUCACAUGUUUGUCUUGUCAGCAUGUUUUCACAUGUCUUCUGUGCUAAGUGCUAACUUACUGCAUGUUUUUUUAUUUAUGAUAUCGCUAUUUGGGGUUUUAGGAUUGAUAUGGUUUCAUUUUAUGUUACCAGAUUAAACUGUCCUGAGGCGGCAAUGAGGAGUUUGCAGCUUGCUCGUGAGCAUGCUUCAAGUGAUCAUGAAAGGCUUGUCUAUGAAGGAUGGAUAUUGUAUGAUACUGGCCACUGUGAGGAAGGACUGCAGAAAGCAGAAGCAUCAAUUGCAAUACAAAGGUCAUUUGAGGCAUUUUUUCUGAAAGCUUAUGCUUUGGCCGAUUCAAGUCUUGAUCCUUCGACCUCAGCAACAGUUGUAUCACUUCUAGAAGAUGCAUUGCGGUGUCCCUCAGAUAGACUUCGGAAGGGUCAGGUAAGGGCUCUUUUUUCCCUCCACAUUAUUUCCUGAAUUUCACUUAGCUAAAUGGACCAUGAAUGAUCAGGUGCCGUUGUCCUUUUUCUGCCUUGACAUGUUGCAUAAUGUUGGGAUUUAAGACAUCUUGUACCAAAAACAGGAAUAUAGUUGCCAGUUGCCACUAUUUAUUUAUUUAUUUAUUUUCCUAGACUUUCAUCAUUCUCCUUGGAAAAUAUCAAGUGAAAAUUUAAUUGCUACAUUUGUUGAGUAGUUGCUUUUUUUUGGGGGUAUUGCUUUCAUUCUUCACCUAUGCAUUUGUUCAGCUGCCAGGUGUUGCUAGAUUUUGUUAGGAAGUUAAGAUGUCCUAUUUAUUCAUUGACAUUGUUGCAUUAAGUAUGGGAAUGUCAGUUUCACUCUUAAAAAUGGUUGUCCUGUUUCUCCUAACAUGCAACUGAUCAACUGGAUUCUUGGGUACACACUAAGUUUAAUUUUAUUUUGUACCAAAUAGUUGGCCUGUUAGCGAGCAUUUGAUAUCAUUACUAUUACUGGAAGUUUUAACUUUAACCCUACAGAUAAAUGAAGCACUCCUUUCAAUGGCUAAUGAAAAUUUUUAUUUUUUAUUUUUUAAAAUACAUGAACUUGAGAAACUGCCCUGUUUAUGUCUUUUUGUCAUUCUAGUUUGAGAUGUGCAUAACUGCAACUUACUGAUAAUUAUCUAACAUCUUGUAGGCUCUAAACAACCUCGGAAGUGUUUAUGUGGAUUGUGGAAAGCUAGACCUGGCAGCUGAAUGCUACAUUAACGCCCUAAAGAUUGGCCACACCAGAGCGCAUCAAGGCCUUGCAAGGGUUCAUUUCCUUCGGAACAACAGAGCUGGUGCAUACGAUGAAAUGACCAAGCUGAUAGAGAAGGCCAGGAACAAUGCAUCAGCAUAUGAGAAGAGAUCCGAGUACUGCGACCGGGAGCUAACAAAAACGGACUUGCAGAUGGUCACCAAACUGGACCCUCUGCGAGUCUAUCCCUACAGAUACCGUGCUGCUGGUAAGCGCUGCUUCCUGCUGCAUGGCAUAUGCAGUUUCUUAUAAUUUUAGUAUGACAAAGCUGGGACGUGAUGUGAUCAUAGGCCACCAGAUUCAAGGCAGAUUGAAACUUAGGAUAUAAAAUUCUCGACACAGUAGUUUAUAAUUGUUAAUAGACGUAGCUCAUCUGCCCAACUCCAAGUGGUUUGUGCUACUUUAACGAACCAACUACCCUGGUUCCUAACAUGAGCUGGUGAGAAGUCAAUGUAGUCUGCCAUUGUCUAUGUUCGACUUGGUCAGUAGGUGUAACAACCAUAAUAUAUUUCCUUCAGUCCAUGAAUUAGCUCAUCUGUUCAUUGUUCUGUCACCUCAUUUGCUGACGCGGACUCUUUCCUAAUUUGAUUCUGGUGCUCAGUGCUGAUGGACAACCACAAGGAGAAAGAGGCCAUCGCGGAGCUGACCAAGGCUAUCGCCUUCAAGGCGGACCUGAACCUGCUCCACCUGCGCGCGGCCUUCCACGAGCACAUUGGCGACAUCUCGAGCGCCCUCCGGGACUGCCGCGCGGCCCUUUCGGUGGACCCCAACCACCAGGAGAUGCUGGAGCUUCACCACCGGGUGAACAGCCAGGAACCCUGAGCGAGCGCCCCAUGGUGUACAUACAGGACAGGACAGGAACCCUCAUAGCCAUACCAGUGUAUGUUUUGUACCAUACACAGCAGAUCAAUGUAAGGAUAGUAGAAAGCCAGUUUAGAUCCCUCCCUCCUCCCCUUGAAAACCAAACACCCCCAUUCCUUGUGUCCGGUAAUUAGAUGUGUUGUUUGCUAUAGCCUCCCCUUAGUAAAUUAUUGUUGUCGAUUGUGAUUAAGCCUCCUAAUUGUACCCACCAUGUGGCCCAGCGGGCCAUUAUGUCAGAAUCAAGAAGUUUUGACUGUACCACGUGUAUGUAAAUGAAAUGGGGAAAAGGAUGAAUGGAAGCUUUUGUCGGCGCAAAACUGUCAGGCUUGCAGGCAACUUGCCGAUCACUAAUUGAUUGCACAUGUGCAGGUUUAUGCUUUUGGUUGUUGAUUUAUCUGGAGGGUUGUUUGUUUAAUGCUAGUACCCAUCAGUCAGGAUUAGGAAUUUAGAAUGAAGUCAUUAUUGCACUGAUUGGGGGUGAAGACUGAAGGAGAGCAAUGGCUGACAACAGCUUCUGAAAAUGAAUGGUCAAUGGGUGAGGACUGGGGACAGGGCAGGGAGCCAGGGCAUCACUUUCUGAGGCUGAAUGGUCCAUGAAUCGGAACGUCUCCCUAGUGAUGGGGGAAAGAGAGAAAUCGUAGGAUUCCUUUUGCCCAUGAUGAGCAGCACUUGGUGGUGUGCUUGUCUCUGACGUUUGGCUACUCUGAAUUGACUGAUGCAUCAGGGAUUAGCAUGCAGUCACUGAUGACGACGCAAUGGAGUAUGAAGUAACAAGAGGAGCUUAGCUGAAAAACUAUGACUAAAAGUAUUGUUCGCUGAUUUGUUGUGAGAGAAAAACACUGUUCAAUGAUUGAUAGAUUGAAAAGCAACUUUCAGCAUCAUCCUUUGCUACCCUCAUUUACCACUUACAAGCAGGAGAUCUGCCUCGAGCUGAUGUUCUCAAAAUUCUUCUCUAAACACGCACUGUCCUCCCCUAGCUUUGCGCGUGCCUUUAUUUUUUCGUCGCAUCGUUCACAUAUUUCGUUGGUUUGCCUAACAACAAUCUCAACAAAUACGAUCCCAUGCGUGUCCUAUCACCAAGAUCUCCUACACAAAUUGAAAAUGGGAAAGAAGCUAAGGUGCGUCAAUUAGGUGAUUGGUGUAACCAUCCAGGCACACAAAUGACAAAAGUUCGAGGUCUUUCGCUGGCUUUCUUUUGUGCCCAACUGCCGGUCGCCAAAUGUCCAAAACGUCAAGAAAAUUGGCUUUCUUUGUGCCCAACUGUCAGUCGCCAAAUGUCGAAAACGUCAAGUUUCGGCUGCAAGCUUCCCUGUGCUGUGAGAGGUACAUGAAGAGAAAACGAUGUGAAUACGUUGAAUGUUUCACGGCUGACGGCGGUGCAUAUCGGAUGAGCAUGGAAUGAGAACGAACGAAGUAAGGAUAAGAACAACUAAGGUGAUGAUAAGUUGUUCGUAGUAUCGGCUUCUUGAGCACAAAAACAAGUUUGGAGAUGAAACUUUAAUUAAUUAGCAAAAGACGGAGAUGAAACGUACCAUCCUGUUUUUAAUUGAACAGAGUACGUCGUGAACUAACUUGGCUGGACAUCUCCCAUGGAACACAUUUUCACAACAAUAUUUUCACUAAUAAUUCUGAAAACCGCUUGUUAUAAUAUAUAUCAUCAACUUUUUGUAGUAUAACCGGUGAUAAAAAUCAUUUUCACUAACGGUUCGCGAUUGGUAAUAUUUUCACUAAUGGUCAUAGUAUGAGCCAGUGGUGAAAAUAAUUUUUACGAAUGGUUCUAAACAUAUGCUGGUGGCGACAAGAGGUUGCAGAUCCACAACUGCUACCUUCCUCCCCAUCUCUUCCGUUGUAGGUCCCUCUCUUUUUAUGUCUUUCUUAGGCCUUGUUUAGUUUGCAAAAAUUUUCAAGAUUCUCCAUCACAUCGAAUCUUUGGUCGCAUACAUGGAGUAUUAAAUAUAAACGAAAAUAAAAACUAACUGCACAGUUUACCUGUAAUUUGUGAGAUGAAUCUUUUGAGCCUAGUUACUCCGUGAUUGGACAAUGUUUGUCAAAUAAAAACGAAAUGCUACGGUAGACAAAAACAAAAAAUUUUCGAACUAAACAAGGCCUUUAGUUUCUCUGCUGCCUCCCACGCCGCUGGCGCACGCUGCCUCUUAUCUCUCUCAGUCUCACCCGCACCCCUCUUCAAUAGUACUAUUUUAAUUUUCAACCAUAAAGUUUGCAAAAGUAUAUGCUUAUGUUGAAAUGUGACACUUAAUCCUGAGAUUAAUUAUGAAAUUAAUUAUUAAUUAAAUUUCUGGACUCAUAUUUAUUUCCAACUAAAUAAGAUCUACAAUGAUUGGUGGCAACCUUUAUGACAUGUUCGCUUUAGCUUAUCUGCCGAAUCUGGCAGAUAUUUAGUAGUGUUUUCUCUUAUAAUAAAUCAGCGAAUAACCGUUAUGAUUUUUCAGCCAAGCGAACAGGCUCGGCCCAUAGCACAUAUAGAAAUAAGAGGAGAUGCCCGUGACGGCUCCACCCAAAUCAAACAAAUCAUAUAACCGGUCAUUAAGGCGCUGGAGGGUUUAGGAAGGCCGUCUCCCACAUCCCGUACUCUUGCUGCAAAUCUACACCAAGCUCUUCAUCGGAGAGUGUUCUAACUCUCAAUUGGUGAAGAUCAGUAUACCUACUUCAUCUACGUCAUCUCCAUCACAUCUCUAGUGACACAGAUGCGUCCAUAGAGCGGUUAGUAUCUAAGAUCUAUUCCACAUAAGAUUAAAUAGUGAUCAUAUUUAGGCUAAGUUAAAAUCUUGUUUAGUGUAAGUUUUAUUUCAACAGUUUACACUUAUUUGUUUCAAGGUGAAGAGCAUUGGAGGCCGAUGCACACACAUCCUACGUUCUUUUGUGAGUACCAACUAGAACUAUUCUGGGCUUGGGCCCAAAGCCUCCAUUCCUUAGCAACUGAAAUAUUAGGCCCACCACUACUAGGUUUUUCUUUUGAGUGACCACCAAUGCACUAGGCCUUGUUUAGUUUCCAAAAAAUUUUACAAAAUUUUUCAGAUUCUCCGUCACAUCGAAUCUUUAGACGUAUGCAUAAAGUAUUAAAUAUAGACGAAAAUAAAAACUAAUUACACAGUUUGGUCGGAAUUGACGAGACGAAUCUUUUGAGCCUAGUUAGUCCAUAAUUGAACAAUAUUUGUCAAAUACAAACGAAAUUGGUACUAUUCAUAUUUUGCAAAAUAUUUUGGAACUAAACAAGGCCUAGCUUGGGGACUUUGGUCGUGGCUCGCUAGCAUGAUUCAUGAUUCAUCUCCUAAUUUGGUUCUACUUAGGUCCUCUUUGAAUCUCAUGGUCUAAAGUUUAGUAGCUAAACAUUAGACCACUUUAGCUCUUGAGGCUCCAAACAUGAGAUAUAAAGUGAUGUCUAAAGUUAACCAUCUCACAAAAAUUUAGACCACACAAGUGAGGUAAAGUGGUUUAAAGUUUUAGUCCUCAACUUUAGUCAACUAAAGAUUAGGCAUGAGAAUCCAAACAUGCCCUUAAAUUGCUAGCUAAUGUUAUCUCUAAAAUCAAGCAGUAUAUUUUUCUCACCACGCAAAAAAUGCAAACCACGACAAUUUGCAUGUGUAUUUCGGCAUAAAUUAAAAGGAAAUAAACUUUGGCCACUUGAGUAUAUUUGAAUGGGCCACAUAAAUGGAUUCUUGUCUCGUAAAAGCAUCUUCAAUUUAUAAUACAGAAACCAAGAAGAAAUAGGUAGAAGAGGCUGUAUUCAAAUACAGUACUUGUUUACAACAUGCGCAGGCACAGACACGUACACCACCAAUCCUUUGGAAAACAGAAAUGAACAACAUGCAUGCGCAUAGCACAUAUAUGAUAUAUAUCAGGGAAUGGCGGCACAUGCACUGGUACGGUACGCACCCACGUAGGUACCAUAUUGGAUUUGGACCCACCUGGCUGUUGCUCCCAGGCAGCCCGCUCUGAUCGUCUUCAGCCUUGUACGGAUCAUCGAAUCAGCCUGUGGCUACGAAAGACACAGAUAUAUAAUAUAAGCUGACAUCAUAAAACAUUUCCUAAUUGCCGUAAAGAACUUCGAUAACUUCUUGUGGAUCUAAAAGUCGCCAAAAAUGGCAAACGUACAUACCUGUUCCAGACGUACUCAGCCCACCGUCACAAUGGGUUGGUUUGUAUUCUGAGCUAGCUGUUCCUGGAUUUUCUUCUUGAGCUCACCUUUCUUGCGCCUUGCUUCCUGGCCUUCUUCCUCAAGUAUCUUGUACUGAGUCUCAUGAUCCCGAGCGGCCCUUAUCCUGUCCCAAUCCAAAGGAAAGUAAACUCCAACCUGAACCUCGUUGAUGCUUGGGAGAAAUCCUAGCCCAGAAAAAACAAUUUCAUUGUUUGUUACCCCUGUGACCUGCAGCCGCUCCAGUUUGGGCAUUGCUCCUUCGUCAAAUUUGACUGAUUUGAUUCCUGACACUGAAAGCGUAAGCACCCUGAGGAUUCCAAAUGCUAUUCCGCCCUGUGGAGAUUUGAAAUCAAGUUCUUCACACUGAAACGAUGACCCUGACACAACUAGAAUUUCCAGGCUCGGUAGUUUGCCAAGGAAUUCCAUAGCAGCAUCGUGCUCCAAUAGCUUAGGGCCUGCUAGUUUCAACUUCACCAGAUGCUGGAGCUCCAUGAUCCAUACCGGCAACUUUUCCAGAUUGCCAUACAGCUUGAGGCUCUGCAGGUUUUUUGGAGGUGAGGAUAUCUCAUCCAAGCAACCACAAAAACCUGCUGAACUCGCCGACAGCGAUUCUAGUCUGCUGAGUUUGGAAAUGGCCGAGCAAAACACACGGCCAUUCUUCUUGUUGAUGCCAUUCACUCCCAACUUGCGCAACCCUGUGAGCCUUCCAAUGUCUUGUAGAACGUUCUUUCCUCUCCAGACAUUCACUUCCCUUAGUGUGUGCAUGUCUUUAAGUUUUCUGAUCCCCCUUGGCACCAUAACACCUCUUUUAUCUGCUCCCGUCACGUUUAAAGGGAAUUGCACGCAGCAAGCGAAAGUGCAUGCAUCUCGCCUGGUAAGGGCCUUACAGCUGGGGCCAUCAAUGUUCAAAAGAUGAGGUAAGCAACAUGUCGCACAAUCAAACGCCCCGCCAAGACACCUCUCCAUUAAACUAUCAAUUUCGCCCUGUGGGUAAUCUGAUUUUCUUCCAGCAUGGAUGUACUGUAGGUUCUGUAGUUUGAUGAUGGUUUUUGGCAGAGCCUUUACAUAUGUACCUCUGAUGUCUAGUGUUUGGAGUUGCCUUAGGUUGCCCAAUGAAUCGGACAGUAGAUCAAUACCCAAGCAUCCUCGUAGAGAAAGGUACUUUAGGUGAAUAAGCUUCCAAAUCUGAUCAAGGUGAUGGUAUUGUAGAUCACUAGUCCCUUCCAAGUCAAGCACUCGUAGAAACCUCAUCUUGUCGGAAAUAAAAAAUGGCUUCCACUCCCCAAACAGAGAUAGCGAUCGUAUUCGGGACACGUCCACUAUGCCCUCGAAUUCACUCUUAUCUCCAUUCCAGUUGCUACUUAUAGCAAGAUGGCGUAUUGGGCCAUGGAUAUUCAUGCUGCAGCCUUCCUCCAGUGUGAAGACUAGGUUCUCCUCCCUUGACUUUGAGAUGGCAAUGUCACGGAUGAGAUCAUGUACUUUGCAAGAGUCAAUUGUUUUCCUGCUGUAAAAUGAUUGCUGAGAUGGUAAAAUCAUGCUUCUGUUCUUGAGUUGCACGAAGUAGUCAUCAGCUAUUUCAAUGGCUGACUUCCCAUGAGUCUCAGCUGAGUAACCUUCUGCUGCCCACCGACGCACCAGACGCCUUCUGCUAAUGUUCAUGUCUUCAAGAAAAAUGGACAGAUAUAAAAAACAAGACUUAAGAUGGUAGGGUAAACCAUCAUAGCUCUUUUCAAGGACAGUUCUUAUCAUUCCAAGCUUUGGAUUCAUCUCUAACUCUGCGUUGAUAUUCUCAUUCAACUGCCGCCAUUCUUCUGCAUUCUUUGGACGGUUUGCCAAGAAGCCACCUAUGACAACUAUUGCAAGAGGAAGUCCACCACACUUUUUUAGGAUUUGUUUUGCUUCUUUAACCAACUCGGGAUUAUUUUGCUCAUCCAAAUAUGUAGCGUCAUCAAAUACCUGAUAUUGGUACAAUUUAAGGUUUAUAGUGCUUAUAAAAAGUACAAAAUUACUAAGCAGAUAUGUUUUUUUACUAUUAAGAUUUAGAAUGAAAUUAAGGUUCGCUGUUACAUACAAAAAGAAAGUCACGUCUAAAAUGCAUAAAGUUCAGGUUAUUUUUGGGAGCUUGUUGAGAAAACAGAUUAAAUAAUAUAUGAAUCUUGUAUUGUCACACACACCCAACACGGGCCGUACUCGUUGGCAGAGAAAAUGGGCCAACCAGGGCCCAACUAGGGGGCGCCACCGCAGCUGCAGCUGGGCUGCCCUUGGAGGGCCGCGCGCCCAAAGAGGGGAGGGGGCGCCAUGCCCGCUGUGGCCGUUGUCUCCAUCUUUGCUAUUUGUGGUUAGCAUAUCUAUCCGCAAUUGGUUUUAGAAAGAGUUUAUUAAGAUAGAAAGUUAAGAGUUUGUUAGAGGAAAGGAGAAUCCAUGUUCGAAAAGGAUCUCCUAGUUUGCUUGCAAGUCAAGUCCUCUAGGGACUAUAAAUACUUAGAGUUAUGUAACAAGAUCAGUAAUACACGAGCGAAAAUCUUUCCCUAUCUCUCUCCUCUCUCUGCCUACGCCGCCGGUGACCGCAUAAGUCACGACUGUUACACCUGGUACCAGGAGACUAGAUUGAUCCCCACACCGCUGCUAUGGCUGAACUAGUUGAGAUCCAAAAGCUCUUCGCUAAUUUCUCCAAGAACGUCAUCGCCAAGAUUGACACCGCCCACUCAUAGAUCGCCGACAUCAACAACCACCUCAACACCAUCGAGAUGAGACGCUUGGCCAAGGACGUGGUUGACGAACUCGAAAGUGAGAAGAAGCUACUCAUCGUCAAGCUGGAGGCCAAGCUCUUCUGCAAGGAGGAGCCCAAACCAGAGAUCCAUCUAGGCAGAGUAGCACCAACCGUGUUCUUAGCACUAGAGAUCUGCCCCCACAAGCUGUCCUUCGUGACAUACGAUGGCAAGGAGGACCUCCUGCCAUGGCUCAACCGUGCGAGCAGUUCUUCAAGGGUCAACAGACCAUAGAGAGCGAAAAAACAUGGUAUGCUUCUUAACAACUAACUAGUGCCACACAACAGUGGUACAUGAGACUUGCAGUACAACGAUGUGAUAAAUUGGGCAUAGUUCACUCUGUGCGUCAAUGAGCGCUUUGGACCUCCAACCGGGCGUAACCCUCUGGGCGAACUCACCUCCCUGAGGAAGACGUGCACCAUCGACGACUACAUAGAGCACUUCCUAGCGCAUGUGGCUUGGGCUAGAAACCUCAACGAAUGCUAGGAGGUCAACAUCUACGCCAUGACCCCCUGGAACCACUAAAGAUAGAUGUCGAGCUGAUCAACCCGUAGGACAUGAAGGCAGCCAUGUCUCCAUCAUGGGCAUAUGAGCCAUCAUAGUGGCACUCGCUUUUAAGCUAGGGCGCCUUCCUCCAUCGAAGGCGACUACAACCAUGACAACAACGACCACACCAACGACAACUAUGAUGGGUGCAUGGCACCAACCCCCCGCCCCUUCAAGCAUCUGACCGUUGAAGAGAUGGCAUUAUGACAUAGCAUCGGCCUCUGCUUCAACUAUGAUGAGCUGUUCUCACGUGGCCACAAGUGCAAGUUGUUGUUUGACAUCACCAUCGUUAAUGACUAUGACCUAGAGGAGGUGACGACAACCUCAUGAUGAUGAUCGACAGGCUCCACAUAGGAGUCCAAGGUGCCUCCCUCAUGUACAUCAAGUGGAUGAUGAAUGGCGCAGGCGUCCUGGUCUUAGUGGAUUUGGGUGCGACACACAACAUCAUCAACAUCAACAUCACCCACUCCAUUGGUCUCUAGGAGCAGCGCAUCAACACAACCAUACUCGUUGGUAGUGGCAAUGAGGUGCCAUGUCAUGGAGCAUCCUUCCAAGUACCACUAUACAUCAGCAACAACUCCUUUGACAUCGACACCUUCCUCCUCAUCAUCGGGAACAAUGUCGAUGUUACUCUUAGCAUGCCUUGGCUAGCUUGCCUCAGGCGUAUUACCUGGGACUACACGAGCAUGGAGAUGCUCUAAUUUCACAAUGGGAAUCCACACACCUUCCACGCAUCCCUUCAUCAUUAGGCGCCAAUAAUGGCGCUUGCACUCCCGGCACCCAACCAAUGGUACAUGAAGAUUGGACUUCACCACUACAACCUCCUCAUAAUGUGAUGAAUAGGUCACAAAGAGCUUGACUCCCAAAUGCCCUCGACCACAUCAAAGGCCCCAAUGACAUCAUCUUCACGCACCUAUACUAGGCUAUCAGAGAGCAGCGUGAGCUCUAUACAAUCGCCAUAGCCAUCAUGCAGGGUCAGGCUUUGAAAUAUUGGCCUUUAGACAAAGGUCUCAUCUUCUUCAAUGGGUGGUUCUACCUACCUACAGCCUUUGACAUUGCUAGUGGCACUAGGAGUGCAAGAGUCACUGACACAAGGACGGUUAACUGGGGUACCCUCCCAUAUUCUCUUGGGUCAUCCCUGGUUACUACAACAUCCUAUAGUGGCAAUGAUGGUGAUCUUCCUCGAUGCAUUCGGCCUUAUAUUCAUGCGCAUUGACAACGUCAACAUCAGGCUUCUUCCAGGCUCCAUCGACCACUGCAUGUGACCAGGAAAACUCGACUUGGGGCCUUUGCUUUGGCUCCAUGUUGGGCCUCAUGACAUCACCACCAACACGCUCGACAAUGAUAGUUUGGCGCCAAGUACAUCGCUCCACUAGUACUAACAUCAACAAUCACAUCCGUGGUUUCAUCACCCCUCCAUGAGUGAUGCUUUGCUUUAGCUCUAGGCCUUGGUACCAUGUCCUCUUCUUGUUGCAGCAAGGGCAGGCACACGGAUGGGAUCUCUAGACAACAUCUUCUACUACCUCUUUGGCUACAUCGGCGACCUCUAGUACUGCUCGAGUUUGCACCACUACAGACAUGUGAGAACAUUAUUCUCACUAAUCCCCUUAGUGGGCCACAUGAUGUGCUACAUGGAGGCCAUUCCACCAUGAAGAGAUCCGCCACCAGAAGGCAUCCAUGAAUGGGUCGCAUGUCAGCACAAGGACACACCGAGCAGGGAAGGGGAGAGUACUGUCAUACUCCCAACAUAGGCCGUACUCGUUGGCAGAGAAAAUGAGCCAACUAGGGCCUAAGUAGGGGGCACCACAACCGCCAUAGCUAGGCUGCCCUAGGAGGGACACAUGCCCAAGAGCAGAAGGGGCACCAUGCCCACCGCCGCCGUCAUCUCCAUCAUUUCUAUUUAUGGUUACCAUAUCUAGUCGUAUUUGGUUUUAGAAAGAGUUUGUGAAGGUAGAAAGUUGAGAGUUUGUUAGAUAGAAGGAAGAAUCUGUGUUUGAUUAGGAUCUUCUAGUUAUCUUGCAAGACAAGUCCCCUAAGGACUAUAAAUACUUAGGGAUAUAUAAUGAGAUCAAUCAAGUAAUAGACGAGCGAAAGCUCUUUCCCUAUCUCUCCUCUCUCUCUUGCACCCCCCUCUCUGCCCUAGUCGCCAUCCCUGCUCUCCAUGCCACUGCCCCUGCCUACACCGUCGGUGACUGCCCCGGUCAUGACUGUUACAUGUAUAGUUUAUUUGUAUAUAUGAAAAAAUUAAUGAAUAAGUCUAAAUUGAACUAUGAGUUUUGAUUUUGGUCAUGAAACUCCUUUGGCCAUCCAACUAUCAAAAUUGUGCAUGUGGCAUCUCUCUCCUCUCCAUGCACAAUCUCUCUUAGCGCCAGUCACUCACAUUUUCAAUUUUAUUAGAGUGUACAACCAAUUUGACCCAGCUUUAGUAGGUGCCCCCUCAGGCCUAGGUCCAUAAUAUCCCCCAACAAAUCAAUGCAUCGGUCCUAACUCAACACAAAAAGAAACUAGUCAGAUUUGUUAUGGUUUUCCCGCACUUGUAUGUUGUACUCUCUCACCAUUAAUUUCCUUAAUAAUGCCCCCAAUCACACAUCGGAUUCAACUCUUUGAAUCACACAGUUCUUAUGUAACCUCUAGAAGAUGUUAUCAAGGCCCCAAGUCCAAUGUUCCAUGUCACAUACAACCCAAGUCCAAAUGCAUCAUGUCACACCCAAUCCAUGUGAUCUCUAAUAUGUUAACAGCCUCCCUCCCCACCAUGAGGUUAGAGAACCCACCAUGUGGGAGAUAAUUUAAACAGGUCUGAAAUAAAAAACAUAAAAAAUAGGUUGGGGUUUUUCCUACUGACUUUGGUAAAAAAAGAUUUUUCAAGCCUUUCAACCAUGGGCUCUGACAUCAGUUCUUACAGUGCACAAUAGAUCUCACCCAUUUCUCACCUAUAUAUGCCCACGAGUCAAUGCCCCUCUAGGCUAGGUCCACUAACAAAUCAAAGAAACAUACCUGACUCAACCUAAAAGACUAGUCUAAUAGAUGAGGCAGGGAGACUGCAAAAAAUGGCUAAUAGAGAUGGGUGUCUGCCAUGCCUAUGUUAAUAUAUUGAAAAUAACAGGGAGAGCCCGUUGACAGGGCCUGCUGAACCAAUCGACAAGGCUCGUCGAGCCCAUUGACUCGGUGCCCCUGCUCAAACACCUAUGUUGCCAUUGCCCGAUGGCACCUCGGGCCUAGAUCUUCCUCCUUUGGUUUGUUCCCAUGUUCAUCACUGCUGAGAUCAUCCCCACGCACACCGAGGGGAGGAGCGGCCUGCCCCUAGGCCACCAGUCGGAGUUACCCGCAAAGUGCACAUCACUGAGUGUGCAUCUAAUUAGUGCCACCAUGGCCAACCUCGCUCCCUCUCCGUGAGUGCACGCCAUGUGCAUUGAGUGCCAUCGCGUGACCUCACCGUUGUGUCUCUAGCACUAUUUCAUCCCCCAUACCCCCACGAUGCGCUUAAGUGCAAGGCCACGUCCCUCCCGAGCUACUCCAUGAUGAGCUCAAGUAGAAGGCCAGGCCCUCCCCAACUACUUAUUUGAGCCUAGGCAUUGCUGGAGAAGGGUUGCCCUCACAAGCUAUUCCCAUCCCCAGCGGCGCACCACACUACCACUUGGAUUUUCCAUGGGCGGUGCCUUUUGCUACUUGAGCAUCGAAUCUAAGCCUGCGGUGAGCUUACAAACACCUUGGACAUCAUCCUCCACCCCUCUUUUGAGCUUGGCCGCGCCAAAUUUGGCCUAUAUGCCCAAUCGUGGCACACCUAGCAUUAGUGUUUGGCCACCGUGUGGGAGAGUAGUGCAAGGUAGCAUGAGUGCACACUAGCUGUAGUGGCCUCCAUAAUUGGUGCCAGGUCCAUGGUGGGUGAUGGUGAUGGUGUGCACCAUGUCCAAGCAUGUAGCUAGCACUCUAGUGGGCAUUGUGGCCGUGUCAAACCAGCGAUGCAAUGGAAAUUAUAGGAGAGAACAGUUGGGAGUGGGGGAGUGGACUGCAGUUUAAGAUGAUGUUGUGGGGAAGAGAAAGAAGAGGGAACAUGAAAUAUGACAUGUGGGCCCAGCUGACACAUGUGGUUCACUAAGCGACAAUCACCAAAUGGUUAGAUGGCCAGUUGUGAACAAUUUUGAUAGUUGAACCGUAAAAAACUUCUGGGUUCAAAGUUUAAUGGUGCAAUCAAUCUCUUAAUGACAAAAAAGGAUUCUGCCAAAAUUAAUGUUAUUUCAUACCAAGAAAAGUGGAGGACAUUUAUGUUACCUUUUCACUCAGGAGGCAAAGUGCAUCAUCUUGCUGAAGAACUUGAAGGUUGCACACAACUCCAUGUUUUCCUGAGCAGUGGUUGGCAAUAUUCUCUUCCCUUGUAGUGAUAAUGAUUCGGCUUGUCUUUUCCAAUAGAGGUAAUAACCUUGGUUUUAUCAAGUCCCAUUCAGAGGUCUCAAAGAAGUCAUCUAGAACAAUCAAAGAACUUUUCUUCUCUAAUAGUCUUUUCAACUCCUCAGUCAACUUGUCGACUUCCAUUGAUGCAAAUGAUUUCUUAUUGUUGAUUCUAUUUUCUAAUAAUUCUUGCUUCUUAGAAGAUCCUUCAUGUAGUUGUCUGGCCAAGCUCCUAAGGAGCUCUUCAAGACUGAAAGGACGCAUAAUUGUGAUGAAAACGUACUUCUCAAACUUGUCACUCAACUUUGGGCUUUGAUAAACACCACCAACUAGGGUGGUUUUCCCAAGGCCACCCAUUCCCCACACAGAGAUCACUUGAACCUGUUGGCUAUUAUCAUUAUUUGAAACUAAGUCUAUAAUUUCAGAUAUUUCUCUAUUUCGUCCGAUAAGUUGCAAUUCCUCCAAAGCACCCAAACACGUCCUGGUACGACUAAGACUCUUUCUAGCCACCUUCUUCUCAUCAGCAUCCAUAUAUUGAUCAUCUGUAAUCUCACCAUGAGGUGCUAUUUGAUCGUCUAUACUUGUGGUUGCCACAUCCAAGAUAGACACUCGCUUCACUGAAUCCUCUCCAUUUGGGGAACCCUAAAUAAAAGAGAGAAAUAUUUAGGAACAACUUUUAGCCUUAAAUUUUCAUGAAAAAUGUUUAGUCUUGUUUUAAGUCAUGAAGGCAUAUAAUACAUUAAUUUUUAUUCAUUUCAUUGGUUUGUACCCUACUCCAAACUUUAGCUUGGGAUCCCAAUUUCAUGACUUAUAUUAGAAUUCUCAAUAAGAUACGUAUUAUAUAAAAUUUAAAGAAAUGUGAUAAGUACAUUAAAUUUAAUCCAAAUGAUGAGAGGAUACAUUUGCUAGAUCAAAGCAUCUUACUAUAAUCUCUAUGAAAUCAAAUACUCCAUAUCAAAAUUAUGUGUAAAAUAGGAGUUUCUUGUGCAAAGAAGACUUGUGCUCGAUUACUUAUAGUUACCAUCUUACAGGUCAUUCUCAUUUUAUAUCUUUCGCUAGCCAGAAAUCUAGAAUAGAAAAUGGCUAUAUUUAGAUAACCAAUUAAAGAAGCUAUUGGAGGAUAAUUUUUCAUCAAAAUAUCUAUUCCUAACCAUUAGGAAGAAUAUAAGUCUCUUAGAGCAUGUCCAAGAGUUCCCAAGAAUUUUAUCCCAAAACUAUCUAUGGUGUUCUCCUACACGCAAAAAAGUAUUAGGAGGAAUCAAUAAGAUCAUCUCCAACAGUUUCCAAUGGUUCACUCCUAAAAUAUAGAAAAAAUUUAUAUCACGAAUCUUAUACUAUAUCUAAAUUAUCCUAACCACCUUUAUAUAUUCUUUGUUUUUUGUACAUUUGUAUCAUGAAACCUUUUUUACUCUUUAUUCUUUCCCGCAUUUCCACCUUUAGAUUGGCCCAAGAACACAGGCAUUUAGGAGAAGAUACAUGUGACCUAGAGUCCGACUAUCUUUACAUGCAAAGGAGAAGGGGUCUACCAAGUUCCAAAAGAUUGGGAGGUCAAUUAGAGAGUUGUUGGAGAUGAUUUUUUUCAUUGUUCCAAAAAUUAUGGGUUGGGAAUUAUUAUUGGGUACUUUUGGAGAUGCUCUUAGAGUUGCUCUUACUCCCACGCACUUCAAUUACCCAACAUAAUUGAAUUAAAAAAAAUAUCUAAAGACAUAUUUUAAUUAUAAUAAUGUCAAGUGGUAUAUGUUGGAACAAUGAUUUUAUAUAUAUAUAUAUAUAUAUAUAUAUAUAUAUAUAUAUAUAUAUAUAUAUAUAUAUAUAUAUAUAUAUAUAUAUAUAUAUAUAUAUAUAUAUAUUACCUUAUCGUAGAAUGCGUAAAGUGUCUGCUCAACAGACAGUUGCUUUAGCUCUGAGGCUUGGCUUUCUUGUCCUGCGCAUAAGCUUGCAACUUCAACUUGUGUGCUUGACACUAUGAUCCGGCUUCCUUUCUUGUUGUUUGGGAAGCAUUUCUUAAUCUGGUCCCACUCUUCAAUGGUGGAAAGGUUAUUAAGCACGAUCAGAAACCUACUACCAUUCACAUAUCCAUUGAAUUCCAUAGCUAGAUCUUGUUCUGUCUUCUCUUUUUCCAACAGAGCUUCAACACCUUGGGUUGCAUGAAGCUGAUUCACCAAGCUCUGGACAAAGUCUUUUGGACUGAAAGGAUGCAUCACUCUUACCCAUGCUCGGGACCGGAAUCUGAUUUGCACAUCUUGGUUGUCAUAAGCCUCCCUGAUUAUCGUUGUUAGGCCCAUAUCACCACUUGUCCCCCAUACAGAUAUCACUUGAAGGUCCUCAUCCUCCUUGUUGAUUAGUUGCACUAGAUCCACUCUCUGAUUGUCCUGCUUUGCGGCACGCCUUGCAUCAUCAAUGCCAAAUAUGGCUGCAGCAGUAAGGCCAGAUUGGUCAGCGGAGGUGGUGGCACCCUUGGAGCUGGAUCCCUUGAUGAGAUGGUACCGCACAUUCCUCUGGCUCACAUCCUCAACCUUGGCUCUGAGCUCCUUCAUCUGCUUGGCUAUACGGCGCCGCUCGAGCAGCGUGCGAGGGAACCGCCAGCAGGAUGGCCUCUUGAGACGAACAGCAAAAUCCUGGAGGCUGUCCUCGACGUCGUAGGCAGUGUCACGAACCUGUUUCACCCAGGUCUUGACCACCUUGUUGUUGUCUCGCUCCUCGUGUGCCUCCAUCAUGAAAGAUCUCAUCAUCUCAAGCUCAUCCGCGACGAAAGUGUGGUCUUUCUGGAUACCGAGCUGCAAGGCCACCUCCUCGGCAAAUGCAGAUUUUGCGUAGCCAAGCGCUCCAUUCAGCACGGACUUGCCCACGCUCAGGGCCGUCGCCUCCAUUGCUCUGUUGUAUCCCUGAAACAUAUGUGGCAGAGGUUGUGCUCACACGGCUGAUGGCAAGUUUAUAAUACCACACAAGAAGCAACACAAACUGUCCCCAGUUUAAAUAAGGCAUCGAGUAAUUUAAGGUGAAAGAGAGGAAACUGACAGGAAUGCGUCAAAUUCCAGGCUACUGGCACUCUGGCAGCAACCUUCGUAUGUAUGAACUUGGACGACGAAGGCAAAUGUGCUGCAAAAUAGGAGUAUGUUGUGAUUAGCAACAAUAAAAAAUCCAACCAUUCGACCGUAUCUGCUGAGUGCUGACUCGGCAGUCAUAGCACCAGUUGACAAAAAAAUUAUUAAAACUUCACCGUCUACUGCAUCCCAAAUUUCUAGACGCUCGAAACGAACUAUCUGCGAGAAACUGACAGAAAUGUGUAAAGUAGUAUACCUUCGGCAGGCGAAGAGCCGCCGGCAAGUUUAGCUUGAAGCCUCACCUACGGCGGAUGCGCAGCUUUGCAGCAGCCGCUCGCCGACGAGCCACCACGCGGCCUGGCUCGCCUCGCCUGACACCGGUCCGCCGUCGCCGGCAGCUCAAUACUCGGUGGUUGUGGUUCUCUGGUCCAGUCGCUGCUGGAUGCCUACUGGGGAGGUCAAGGCUCAAGUCGUCGGGUUGCUUAGAGGAGUGGCGCGCAGCCUGUCCACGACAGCACGAAUAAGGUCCAUAGACGAAGGGGCCCAGCGCGUGUGUCGCAUUAUUGCGUUGCUGUCGCCAAAGCUUGCCCAGGCGCACACACUCAAAUUAGGGAUGGAAAAUAAAAUUGGGUGUCCAAAUUAUCGGACGUCUUUAUCCGUUAUAAUUUGUAAUAUAAAUGUCUAUUUUUGUAGCUUUUUUUUUUAUUAUAGAUGCUAAAUAGAUGUAUCAAAUUUGUUUUUUUUAGUGUUUUUCUCUAUGUGAUUCGAGAUCUAUAUUCGACAAAAAUAUAAAACGUACAGCGAUUAUUUGUAUCCGCGAGGAACAAGAUGUACAUGAAUCUAUUUAAAAAAUUUCUCUGUGAUUAUUUAAUUUUUAUAUUAAUGGCGCAUUAAAACUAUUGACUAGUAUAUAUAAAAUACUUUUUAAUAUUAUUAAUGCUACAUAAAGGUUAAAUUAAUUUAAAUAUUUUCUAAUUUAGAUUAAACCUAAUAUAUUUGUUGUUGUAAAUUAUUUAAUACUUUAAUUUUUUUAUAGUUUCAUUAUAGAUAUUAUAUAGAUUAUGAUUGAUUAAUUGAUAUAUUUAAUUAUUAAAUAUUUAUUGAUAACUAUAUUUAUUGAUAACUAUUUACUUGUAGAGAUUAUACUUUGAAGAACUCAAAAUUUCAACAAAUCAAAAAGAAUUGUGACCUUUGGUCUAACAUCUAAGCCUGUGCCUUGUGACCACAAGUGUUCAUCGGUAAAACUCUUUAACGAUCGAUUAUCUGUCCCUAAUGCAGCUGUUAAAGUGGCUUUUAGUGACUCUAGCUAGUCGAUGCUUUUGAGUUCUGGUGUAGUGAGUUUCCUUAAGCAACUCCAACCCACCUCCUAAACAAGUCCCUAUUCUAAAUCUAGGAACUUUAUUAAAAAAAAUCAACUCCAACCCACCUCCUAUUGGGCUCUCAUUUUUCAUGCCCUCCUUAAUAUAGUUUCAGCCUCUCAUAUCUAGAACCCCCUAUCUGUAACACCCCAAAAUUUGCAAGUUUUCAAAAUAGGAGAAAUGGUUUUAAUUAUGUAUUUUUGAGCUCAUAAAACAUAGGGAAAAUAAUAUUUUUUUUAUUAUAUUAAAAUUUAUUAUAGUGUUUAGCAACAUGACUGAGCAUCCAUGCCGCUGCAUUUUAUUUUGUCUGAGUGGUUGUUUUGAGUUUCAAAAAGGUUCUCAAAAUUUUCUUGAAAACUAAUUAAGCAAAGGUUUGAAAAUAAAAUUGAAAAAGUAUUUAUUUACUCACCUCCCUCUCUCUGGAAAAUCGGCCCGAAGGCCCAGAUCUUUUUCCCCUUGGCCCACUCCCAGUCCUUCCCCUCGGCCCAGCGCGCAAAGGAGCCGCGGCCCAGCUUUAUUUCCUUCCCCCACGGCCUGCUUCCUUCUUCCCCCUCUCUUCUUUCCUUCCCGCGCGGCCCAGAUUCUCGGCCUAGGCUGGAUCGGCCCGUGAGCCGCGCUCUCCACCUCGCUGCCGCCGCUGACGAGCGGGUCCCGCGCCCCGUUUCGGUGCCAGGUGGGACCCAGAGGUCAGGACCGUCCCCUACCUCAGUCCGGGUAGGACACGAGCUCGAGUCGCACCCACCGCGCGCGAUUCGCGCGAGCAAUCCUUGCUCCGCACGUUUGCCCCCUUUAAAUAGCGGCCCCCGCUGCCCCACAACCCCCCUAUCUCAACCCAGCGACAGCCGCCGCGUCAAAGCUCACCAAACUCGCCGCCGAGAUCCGAGCCAAAGUCAUCUCGCCACCGCAGCGCGUUCCAGCCUCCGUGAGCGUCUUGCCGAACCUCGGUUCCGUCUUGCGAAGUCGCCGAAACUCUCGCUUCACGAUUUCGUGCUUUCUGUGCAUCACUAACGCUCGCCGAACUUCGUUUCAGGGCCACCGUCCGCCGAUCGACGUUGCGAGCCCUAAUCGGCCUUCCUUCGUCGCGGAUUUUGCUUUAGGUGAGUUCGCAUCGAGUUCCCGAGCAACCCCGUACCUUUAUCUCGCGCUCUACGGCUCUCUAUCGCCGGAUUGCCCAACUCCGGCCAUCACCGGCCAUGGCGCCGCCGUGAUCGCCUCCAACUCCGGCCGGCUGUCCACUCCCUCCACCCCCGAUCUAAUCUCAACCGUCCAAGUGAGAUCUGACGGCCUAAAUCGAAGGGUGCCCCUUCGGCCGCACUUUUUACAAAAGAACCCCCUGCUUUUUAAGUAUAGGACCCGCAGUCCAUAGCAUAGUCUUAAUAAUACGUUUUCUUAUUUCAAAGGCGUAUUUUCUUUUAUUCAGAUUCAAAAUACGUUUUCACAAAAUUACAAGUUUGCCACUGGUUUUAUAUUGCUCAUAAAAUAUUCGUUUUAACUUCGUUUUGCUCCGUUCAAAUUGCGUUAGAUUCAUAAUCACAAGAUCUACAUGUUAGUCUCACUGUUUUACAAAUUCAAAACUUUUUGUGUUCGUGAUCCUAUUUAAUUAAUUACUUUUCUAAAGAAAAUCUUAGGAAAAUCAUAACUUCUUCGUUAUAGCUCCGAUUUUCGUGAUCUUUACGUCUGUGUGAUCAUAGUGCGAUGUAGAAUUGUUUUAUAAACUUUUUAUCUUUAUUUUCUUCUGUUGGUGUAUUGUUCUAAUUAUAGGUUUGUUUGCUUUGUAUGAUUGCCUCUGGAUGACUGUUGUUGAUGUGAUGACUGAGUUUAGACAGUGAGCUUUUACACGGUGAUCAAGAAAGCAGUUUGUGGAAGGUUUGGAACUAAAAGAAGGAUCUGAGUUUUAAGGCAAGUAUAGCAUGGGAUCAUCCUUGUUUUCUAACAACUUUAAUCACACAAUUCAUAUUGCAUGUGUCUCUUUGCUAAGGAUUUUCUAUUAUUGAUCUUAAACCCUGUCACCUAUGGUUUUGCAUUGGGUAGCUUAUGCUAGUGCUCCACUAAACCAUGAUCUUGUAAUUUGAUUAAUGGAAUAUGCAAUAAACAUUAAAAGAGGACUUUUUAGCAACUUUGGUAAAGAGGGCUGGAGCAUUGGGCUAUCUUAUGGUGCUCUAGUUUCUCUCCAUAAGGACUUAUCUUUAGAUGACCAUCCGGGACGUACAGUACAACUGUGAGGGCUACAUGGCUCUGGCUUUAGCUCAGUAUGAGGACCUUUUCUAGCUUGUUAGUGGUUACCCUUGUUGCGCAAAUGGGGAAUAGCAGACCGUGGAUUCCUGCGGGUGAAUCACAUGGACUGACUAACGAAACCAAGCGGCCCUAACUUGUUAGACGAACCUUUGAAAGGCUUCAUAGUGAACCCUGCCGGUCUUCCUUGGUAGUAGGCUAAGAGGUCGACGGGCCUCGGGCGAAAGGGUAAAUCAUGACUCAUAGUGAAAGUGUACAACCUCUGCAGAGUGUAAAACUGAUAUAUCAGCCGUGCUCACGGUCACGAGCGGCCUUGGACCAAUACAGAAUAAAUGAUCACUAAUGGCAAAUCAUUAAUGGUGUUAUUGAUAAUAUGUUGUUUAUGCUAUUCUUUAUUCACUUUACUUGAUCAUGAGUUUACUACGGGACUUGACAACUUGAUGCUACUCAUAUGCUAAAAUUGUGACAACUAAAAGCUACAUGCAGUUCAACCAGUGUCUAGCCUUUGAGCCUCAUGAACCCCAUGUUAUUCUUGUUGAGUACGAGAUGUACUUACGCUUGCCUUUACAUUUUAUUUGGAUAAAAAUCCCGGGUGGGUACCAGAUUGCUAGUUUGGAGAAGAGUUUAGGCUUGUGCUCAACCAGUCAGUUGUCCCUGUGGAUUUGGAGCUUUCGCCUGAAGAACGGAGUGUCUUUCCACUGUUUGCUAUCUAAGGUUAUAUCUUUUAUACUAAGUUCGUUAUACUUAAGCAUUGUCUAUUGAUAUUACCCCUAUUUGUGGCUAUAUGUGAGGUUUGACUUCCUGGGCUCACAUAUGGUGUGUAUCUGGUUUUGUUCUUAAAACCGGGUGCUACACUAUGCUACUUGUUUAGGAGGUGGGUUGGAGUAGGGUCUUAAUUUGAGCCCCUACUUUUUAUAUCAUAGCAUGUAAAUAAAAAUUUAAGGACUUAAUUUAGGGACUUGGACUGGAGUUGCUCAGAUUUGGCUUCUAGUUUCCUUAGAUACCAUUUCCCGGAAGUUUUUAUAGAUGGCAUCAAAACUACAAUAGUUGUUGUAGGAACUGUGACACCUAAGAGGGAAGGAGGUGACUUAGGCUUUCUAAAACUUUUAUUUUAAACAUGGCCUCUAAUUUCCACUUAACAUAACCUAUGCAAGAAAGUAAUCUAUUGGGAUGUGCAACUAAUGUUUUUCUAAGGGUCUUGCUAUCUCAUCGACCAAAGAGUUAUUGGACCUAUAUUCCAAUCCUAUCAACUAGCCUAUAAAGCUAAACUAAAAUAGUAAGCACCAACUUAUAUACUUAAUGUAAAGUGUAGACGGUUAAUUAAGAUAGAAAUGCAAACUCUCGUUGAAAACUCUAGUAUUUUCAAUAAGAUAUUGAUAACCUCAUGCUUCCCUGGAAUCCUUGUCAGAGCCCCUCGCAAGGGUCAAACUCCCGGUUAGGUAAUCCUGUGGAGCCCGAGGACCUUCCCUACACACUAGUGGGUCUUAGCUAGGCCUUCCUCUAGACUCCUCUCUGUCGUCGUCACUAUCGAGCUUCUAGCCAAAUUGUCGUGGACCUCGUUCCCUCUAGUACAUGAUGGCGGCCGCAUCACAAACAUGGUUUGGUGUGAUCUAGCAAGACUAUAAGCUUCUCUGAGUACAACAAUGAUGCGCGCAAAGCAUCGAGUGGUGAGAGGUGUGCAAAACAUACUAAACACUAGGACUAAAUCUAGAGCAAAUGCAUAAAGAAGUGGUUUGACUAGACUAAGCACUAUUGCUAAUAACCUAUUCUUCUCUUAAGCGCAUAUGGCGGCUGUAACACCCUAAAAAUUGCUUCUUUUUAAAUAGUUGAAAUUUGAUUUUUUUUAUAUAUAGUUAAUUUUUGUGAGCAACAAAAUAUAGGGAAAAUAAAUAAAUUUUUGGAAAAUAAAAUUUAAUAUAAAUUAGAAACACAUUGAUGCAUUCAUGCUGCAGCACUUAUUUUUGUGAUGUGUGAAUUUCUUCAAAAGAAAAUUUUGUUCAAAAUUCAAAUUGAAAAUGCUUUUGAAAAUGAGUUUAAAAAUAAAAAUAAAAUCUCUCUUCCCCCCUCCUCUCUCACUUUUGGCCUGCUCGGCCCAAUCCCCCGCGCCCUCCCCCCUUUCUCACUUUGGGCCUGGCCCAACCAGCCACUCCACCUCCCUCCCUCUCCCUCUCGCCGACAAGUGGGGCCCGCUGGUCAGUUUCAUCCUCUCCAACCGCCCCCUCCCUCUCCCCUUUCUCUGCUGCAGGAACCACCGGCCACAAGUCUCCUCCCCCGCUCCCACGUUCUCCUUGCCCCGCUCCUCGCCCAUUUGAGCCGCGCGCGCUAGAGCCGCUCUCCCCCUUCCCCAUUUCUUUUCCCCUCACCCCCUUUUUCCGCGCGCAAGCGCAGUAGACCGCCGUGACCGGCCGCGCGUCGCCCCUGCGAUUUGAGCCGCCAUUGUCUCCGUUUUCGCCGUGGUGAGCAUCACCUUCUCCCCCUCUUUCUCCCCGUACUUCCCUUGCGUCAUUUCGUGGCUCCCGGAGCCGCGUUCUUCGUGCUCCGACGAGCUCCAUGGCCGCCGGCCAUGGAGCAAGCCGCUCGGGCCUCUCCCCGGCCACGCCGAGGCCGGGAUCGAGUUCGUGUACUCCUCCUCUUCCUUCCGGUAAUCGCGGUUUCGAUUUUGGUGCACCGCAGCGCGCGAAUGACGAACUCCGGCGAGCCUCCGGCGAUGGCGCCGCCGCGGCCGUUCUCUGCUCCGGCGAGGAGGCCGGCCACCCUUUCCCUGGAGCGAUCUAAGCCGUCCAUUUGAAAUCCGAUGGCCGAAAUUAGCCCAUACCCUUAUAGCCUGGAAACUUUCUAAAGAGCCCCUCGGUUUUCUGAGAUUAGAACCCGCGGUCCAAAGCGCCUUGCAGGAGUACGUUUUCUUCUUUUGAAAACGUAAAAGCUUUCGGGUUAAAUCAAAAUACGUUUUCAGUAUUUACUAAAUUGUCACUGGAUUUGUUUAGCUCAUAAAAUGUUCGUUUAAACUCCGAUUUAACCCGUUCAAAUUGCGUUAGAUUAGUAAUCACGAGAUCUACGUGUUAGUAAACUUGGUUUAACAAUUUGAAACAUUUUAAUUUUGUGACCCUAUUUAAUUAAUUACUUUUCUAUAUAAAAUCUUAGAAAAUUCAUAUCUUGUCCGUUUUAGCUCCGAUUCGAUCUGUUCAAGUUGCGUUAGUUUCAUAAUUUCAUAAGCUUCGCGUUGUACCUUUGUUGGCUAGAUUCACCACUGCUAGAUUUCCUAGUUAAAUACAAGUCCAUAGAUAGCCUUUGCAGUCCCGUUUAAUACGUAGAUUUCACAUCGUAACUCCGUUUUCCGUGAAUUUUCCGUUGACGUGAUUGUAGCAGCGUGUAGAUGAUUUUGGAAAACCUUUAUUUAAAUUUAUUUACUGCUGGUGUACUGUUCUAAUUGUAAUCUUGUUUGCUUCGUGUAUGGCUGUCUCCGAUUGUUUGUGUGUUGAUGAUCGAUGAUCGAGAUUAGACAGUGGGCAUUACUUCGGUGAUCGAGAACAGAGCCUUGGAAGAAAGUAAGACUAGCAGGGCCAGUAGGAGCAAUUGGAUCAAGGCAAGUAUAGCAUUUGGGUUUUAAUUCUAUGACUAUGAUCUUGUGACUGGAUUAAUAUAAAGCAACAAAUGAUAAUAAUGACUUUUAGCAACUUGAGGAUUUAUUCGUAAGUGAUAACCGGGAUGAAAGUGCAACCAUGAGGGCUAUGAUGGCUUUGGCUUUAGUCAAGUAUGAGUAAUUUUUCUAGCUUGUUAGAGGUUACCCGUGUGGCGCAAAUAGGGGAUAGCAGACCGUGGAUCCCCUGCGGGGUAGAAUCACACGGACUGACUACCGAAACCAAGCGGCCCUAACUUGUUAGACGAACCUUUUAAAGACUUCAUAGUGAUCCCUGCCGACCUACCCUGGUAGUGGGUUACGAGGCUGAUCAUCUCGGGCGAAAGGGUAAAUCAUGACUCAUGGGUAAAGAUGUACAACCUCUGCAGAAUGUUAAAACUGGUAUACUAGCCGUGCUCAUGGUUACGAGCGGCCUUGGGGAUUCUUACAUUAAGGGUGAUGAAUCUUGUUAUGUUAAGAAACUUAUUGAUUAUUGUUUAAUGUUCUAUAUUAUUUAUGUCACAUUAAUCAUGAGACCGUGGGAUCUAUACUAUCUAGUUGUUAUACUUGCGGAGUUCGUCUUGGACUCACUCUUGCUAUCUCCCCCACACCUCAGGUGAAGUAUUGGGCUUGUGAUCAACCAGUCAGUUGGAUCCUGUAGAGUGAAGUUAACACCUGAAGUUUGGAGUUAUCUCUCGUGGUUUGCUGCCUAAGGUUGAUUCUGAUUUAUUAUGUACGCUAUAUAAUUUAUGCGUUGUCCUUUGAUAUUACCCCUUAUUUGUAGCUAUAUGUGAGAUUUGUCUUCUAAAACUCAGAUAUAGUGCAUAUCUAAUUUUGUUUUUAAAAUCGGGUGUUACACGGCUAGAGGACUUGGUAGUGUGUAUCCACACUCCUACAACAUUAGCUCUCGAAUCUCUUCAGAAGAGCAGCCAUGGGGUGUAUAUAGCCCCUAAAGAAGAAAAAUUGUUUAGGUUUUUGUGUACUCACCAGAAAGCUUUGGUGGUAAUACCUGAUAAAUCUGGUGCUGCUACGUGACCAUUAGAUUUGUUACCGCUGGGCAGAUUUUGCCUUUUUUUUCCAUAAAUUUGAAUGAAAGUGAUAUAAUUAUGCCGAGGGCCCACUCCAGACCCUUGGCAAAGAGAGGAGUUGCCGAGGGCAGGCUGGCGGGCCCUCGGCAAAGCAUGACCUCCGGCAGAGCUUUGCCGAGGGCUUAACUACGGGCGCUCGGCAAUGCCUAACGCCCAGAGCCGCCGUUACUCUGGACCCACACCGCCGAGCGCCCCUUCUUUGCCGAGGGCCGGCCCUCGGCAAAGAUGGGCCUUGACCGAGGGCUUUUAUCUGCCGAUGGCCUGGCCCUCGGCGAAGAAGCCUUUGCCGAAGGUCGCUCUUUGCCGAGGACUGGCCCUCGGUAAAAAUAUCCUUUGCCGAGUGUCCGAAAUCCGGCCCUCGGCAAAAUAAAUGACCCUCGGUAGCGUUGCGUAGUGCGUGCACAUCUAAACAUAGCACAAGUAAUAUCCCUUUUGAUUUAAAAUCCAUCAUAAAGCUAGGUACAUGUUUGAGCAUACAUGAUGGUGUAUCGGAUUUAUUGUACUGCGUAGAUUUGACUGAAAUUCAAAACUGAUUUAAAAUCAUUUGAAAAAGGCUUUGAAAUAAAAGAAAAAAAAUUCUAAACACCGCAAACUCACUCUUUUAGCCCAAGAACCCCAGUUGUUGAAACCAAGUCUCUCUCAGCUCAAGCUUUCCCGGGCUGCUGUGCCUUCUCCCGCUAGGCGCAGGCGCAGCUCCUGCAGCCCAGUUCAGCAAUCAGCUGGACAUGCCCUACGUAUUCCCUCUCCCGCAGCUCAUUCCUCUCCUCUCAGGUUGGCCCCCGAUGAAGCCGACGUGGCCAGACCAACCGGCAGCCUAGUGGAAGCCGCCUGCAUGCACAAUCUCUUCCUCUCGCUCUCUGCUGUGCGCUUUGCCUUGCGGACAUAUGGCCAGAGAGCAACCAAGCCACCUAGACAAGCGUUGUCGUACCGCGAGCGAGCAUCUGCCAUGGUCAAAACCGAGGCCGAAAACCAGAUCCCAACGUGAAUCCAGCGAAGAGCAUCAUUCCUGCCAUGGCGCCCCGCCGUGAACUCGCGCACUUGUGUAGAGUUCUUCUAGUAUUUUUAAUUAGUAAUAAAAUACUACAACUAGUAAUAACACUAGAAAAUCCUCGCUAGGAGACAUUUAUUAGGGAAAGAAAGUUUGUACCAAAUUUUGAAUAUUAAAAUACUAGAAGAAGCCCACAUUACUAGGAGAAGUGGAAAAUUUUGGUUGUGCGCAGCACCGGCGACCUCAACAACCCGCCCCUCGACCGCAGCCGUCCGAUUUAGAUCUGACGCUCUGAUGAGCAGCACUUGUUGCUAUAUAUGCUUGCAUGUAAAAAGUCAGAGGACAAAGAUUGAUAUAUAGAGGUCCUCGAUCGAUCGGACAAAGCCCUAGUGACAAGCAAGUUUCAGCGUCAGCCAUGCCCACCCUCAGGCCUAGUUUACCUUGAGCUUUGUCCGUGCCUUUAUCAUGAUCUUUUUGUAUUACUUCACCUCUUUGUUUUCGUAGAACCGUUCACAUAUUUUCGUUGGUUCGCCGAGCAACAAUCUCAACAAGAGACGAUCCCAAGCAUGAAUAUGGAAAAGAAGCUAAGGUCAACGAAUUACCUUGAGAGCUGACAAUUUCCUUGAGUGUCAAAAUAGAACUGACAAGGAAAGUUUCCUUGCUGUGGACAUCGACCUCCAAGAAAAUAUAUAUUUCUUGAGAGUCGAAGCAAACCGCCAAAUAAGGAUAUUUCCUUGGCAGGUCCUAAGUACCUCCACAGAAAUUUACUAAUUUUCUUGAAUGUAAUUAUAAAUAGUUAAACUACUAUUUCAUUGAGUGCUAUUCUUAACCGAUAAGGAAAAUAUCUUUUUUUCUUGGGUGUUAUUCUAAACCGUCAAGUAAAUUGUCAUUUUUUUGGGUUAUUUAAUAUCCUUGGAGGUUGGCACCCAAUGAAAUGCUUAUAAGUACUUGAUAUAUAUUUUGGUAACCUGAUAGAAAAAAUAAUAAUAUCUUAAAGGUGUCUAAAAUUCUAAAAUUUGCCAUGAGGUCAUAAUAUGAUUAUAUUAUGUUGCCAUAAAUUUUCCAAAUCAUAUUAAUAAAGUCAGAUAUACAUUAUUCACAUGGUCACAUCUCUCAUAUAGUUACACAACUAUUUGAGACUAUGUGUUACAUCUCUUACUUAGUGAAAUAAUGCCUGGGCUUCAUGUAAGCAUACAUGAUGAAUUGACUUGUAAUAUUCUUGUGGAUGUAAAAAAAAUAUCAUGGUUGUAAUUGAUAGUAAAAGGUUUAUAUUAAUGUUAUGUGCCGGUGACUAAAAUCAUGAAAAUUGUUGAUCAUGACAACAUUUUUUUGUUUCGCAGCAAGAAUUUCCUUGAGGGUCAGCCCCCAAGGAAAUCACAAUUUCACAGGUGGCGGUGCCUAUCGGAUGAGCAUGGAAUGAGAACAGAGUGCUGGUUUGAAAAGCCAUGACUAAAAGUACUGUUCACUAAUUUAUUAUGAGAAAAUAACACUGUUGGCUGGCAGAAAAAGUAUAAUUUACAAGACAAGUGAACGGAGCCUUAAGGUGAUGAUAAUUUAUUCGUAGCAUCUGCAUCUCGAGCACAAAAACUAAGUUUGGAGAUGAAACUAAUUAAUUAAUUAGCUAAAGUGGACGACCUUUUCAGAAUGGGAUAUAUACUUCGUUGUUUGUACCAUCCUGUUUUUAAUCUCAUGUGAAGAACGACACAGACUAACUUUAAUUUGCUGUACAUAUCUUCGUCACAACCUUUCACUGCCAUAGAAAGCACUUACACCAAUAACUCAUUAAAAAUCCGCUUAGGCCCCGUUUGGAUCCUUAUUGAUUUCAUUAGAAUAAUUAUAAUUUAGACAUAGAUUAUUUAAGCUAAUAUGGUUGUUGUGGAUUAUAUUUGUAUAUUAUUAUUAGCCAUACAGGGGAGAUAAUUAUAUGUUAUAUUUUUAGUAUAGGAAAGCGAAUUGAAGAGCGUGCUAUAAGUUGUAAAGUAGAAAUAUAUAGCAUGGUGAUCUAUAGAAUUAAUUUUCAUCUCCCAUUCUAUAAAUUUGAGAAAGUUUAGAUGUGAUCUUGAAAAAGAUGUGAAAUAUUAAAUUCCAAGCCAAAUAUCCUAAUCCAUUAAGUAGAUUCCAAUUCCUCCAAAAUGAAACGAUUCAAAUGGCCCCUUAUAAUAAUAUAUCAACAACUACUGCUAACAUAACCAACGGUAAUAAAAAUCAUUUUCUCCAAGGUUUCAUAGUACGAGCCAACGGUUCAAAAUAAAAAACAUUUUGACCAAGAGCACUCCAAGAGCUUGGUUAAAAUUAGUAUCUAAAUUCCAUUGUUUAGUCAUUUUGUAAAAUCGAAAACUUCUUAAAAAAGAAGAGGUCCACAACAGCCUUGCUAUUUUACAAAAUCAGCUAGCUAGUGUCAUUAGAGCAACUCCAACAGAUAUGCUAUCCAUGUUAUCUAGCCUAUUUUUAUAUUUUCAAAGUGAAAAUUAAAGUCCAACAGGUGUGCUAUUUGGUUUGCUAAAAUAGUAAGUUUGGUAUUCCUAAACUUUCGCUUGUCAUAUAUAGCAUAUCGUCCUCACUAGCUAUCCUAUACAAAGGCUGUUGUGGAACUCUAUGCUUUGAGUGAGUUUUUUAUUUUACACAAUGGCUAAAUCUUGUAGUUUAGAAUAUAAUUUUACCUAGUCUCUUGGAGAUGCUCUUAGAGCAACUCCAACAGCUUUGCUAUUCUUAUUAUGAAGGCUUUUUAGAACUUGUAUAGCGGAAAAAUAGACUCCAACAGAUGUGCUAUUUGGUUUUAUAAAAUAGAAAGUUUGCUAUUCCUCGAUUUUCGUUGGCCAUAUAUAGCCAACCACUGACACUAGCUAUCUGAUAGCAAGGCUGUUGUGGACCUCUUCUUUUUUAAGAAGUUUUCUAUUUUACAAAAUGGCUAAACAUUAGAAUUUGGCUACUAAUUUUAGCCAAGCUCUUGGAGAUGCUCUUAGUUGGCUAUAUAUAGCAACCGAAAAUCAAGGGAUAGCCAACUUUCUAUUUUACAAAAGUAGAUAGCACAGCUGUUGGAGUCUAUCUUUUGCUUUGCAAAUUCUAAAAUAGUCUCCACAACAAAAAAAAAUAGCCAAGCUGUAAACAAGUAGUUGAAUGGGCCAUAUAAAUAAUGCCAUUGGAUUCUUGUCUCGUAAAAGUAUCUCCAAUCAAUUGAUAAUACAGCGAAACCAAGAAUAAACAGGUAGAGGUAAGAAGCCCCAAUUCUAAUAAUACUUGUUUACAAAACAUGCGCAUGCAGGCAGAAACAUACAGGUACAUCACCAAACAUUUGUAACACAAAACUGAACAAGAUACAUGCCCACCACCAGGGAAUGGCGGCACGAGCAUUGGUACGCACCCCACGUAGGUACCAUAUUGGACUUGGACCCACCUGGAUGUUGCUACCAGCAGGCAGCCCGACCGCUGAUCUUCAACCUCGCACGGAUCAUCAUGUGGCUGCGAAAGACACAGAUACAAGGCUGAUAUAUCAUAAAGCGUUUCUUAGUUGCCCUAAAGAACUUUGGUGACUUCUUGUGGAUCUAUCUAUCUAUAUAUUAGAGUCGCACAAAAUAGCAAACGUAACAUACCUGUUUCAGACGUACUCAGUCCAACGUCACAAUGGGUUGGUUUGUAUUCUGAGCUAGCUGUUCCUGGAUUUUCUUCUUGAGCUCACCUUUCUUGCGCCUUUCUUCCUGCCGUUCUUCCUCAUAUAUCUUGUCCCGAGUCUCAUGAUCCCGAGCGGCACUUAUCCUGUCCCAAUCCAAAGGAAAGUAAACUCCGACCUGGACCUUGUUGAUGCUUGGGAGAAAUCCUAGCCCAGAAAAAACAAUUUCAUUGUUUGCUUCCCCUGUGACCUUCGUCAAAUUUGACUGAUUUGAUUCCUGACACUGAAAGCGUAAGCACCCUGAGGAUUCCAAAUGCUAUUCCGCCCUGUGGAGAUUUGAAAUCAAGUUCUUCACACUGAAACGAUGACCCUGACACAACUAGAAUUUCCAGGCUCGGUAGUUUGCCAAGGAAUUCCAUAGCAGCAUCGUGCUCCAAUAGCUUAGGGCCUGCUAGUUUCAACUUCACCAGAUGCUGGAGCUCCAUGAUCCAUACCGGCAACUUUUCCAGAUUGCCAUACAGCUUGAGGCUCUGCAGGUUUUUUGGAGGUGAGGAUAUCUCAUCCAAGCAACCACAAAAACCUGCUGAACGCGCCGACAGCGAUUCUAGUCUGCUGAGUUUGGAAAUGGCCGAGCAAAACGCUCGGCCAUUCUUCUUGUUGAUGCCAGUCACUCCUAACUUGCGCAAUCCUGUGAGCCUUCCAAUGUCUUGUAGAACGUUCUUUUCCCUCCAGAUAUCCACUUCCCUUAGUGUGUGCAUGUCUUUAAGUUUUCUGAUCCCCCUUGGCACCAGAACACCUUUUUUAUCUUCUUCGGUCACGACUAAAAGGAAUUCCACGCAGCAAGUUAAAGUAAGGUCCUUACAGCUGGGGCCAUCAAUGCUCGAAAGAAGAGGUAAGCAAUAUGUCGCACAAACAAACGCCCCGCCAAGACACCUCUUCAUUAAACUAUCAAUUUCGCCCAGUGGGUCAUGUGAUUUUCUUCCAGCAUGGAUGUACUGUAGCUUCUGAAGUUUGAUGAUGGUUUCUGGCAGAUCCUUUACCCUUGUAUUUCUGACGUCUAAUGUUUGGAGUUGCCUUAGGUUGCCCAAUGAAUCUGACAGAAAAUCAAUAUCCCUGCAUCCUCAUAGAGAAAGGUACUUUAGGUGAAUAAGCUUCCAAAUCUGAUCAAGGUGAUGGUAUUGUAGACCAUUAGUCCCUUCCAAGUCAAGCACUCGUAGAAACCUCAUCUUGUCAGAAAUGAAAAAUGGCUUCCACCAACCAAACACAGAUAGUGAUCGUAUUCGGGACAUGUCCACUAUGCCCUCGAAUUCAAUCUUAUCCCCAUUCCAGUUGCUACUGAUAGCAAGAUGGCGUAUUGGGCCAUGGAUAUUCAUGCUGCAGCCUUCCUCCAGUGUGAAGACAAGGUUCUCCUCCCUUGACUUUGAGAUGGCAAUGUCACGGAUGAGAUCAUGUACUUUGCAAGAGUCAAUUGAUUUCCUGCUGUAAACUGAUUGCUGAGAUGGUAAAAUCAUGCUUCUGUUCUUGAGUUCCACGAAGUAGUCAUCAGCUAUCUCAAUGGCCGGCUUCCCAUGAGUCUCAGCUGAGUAACCUUCCGCUGCCCACCGACACGCCAGACGCCUUCUGCUAAUGUUCAUGUCUUCAGGGAAAAUGGACAGAUAUAAAAAACAAGACUUAAGAUGGUAGGGUAAACCAUCAUAGCUCUUUUCAAGGGCAGUUCUUAUCAUUCCAAGCUUUGGAUUCAUCUCUAACUCCGCGUUGAUGUUCUCAUUCAACUGCCGCCAUUCUUCUGCAUUCUUUGGACGGUUUGCCAAGAAGCCACCUAUGACAACUAUUGCAAGAGGAAGUCCACCACACUUCUUUAGGAUUUGUUUUGCUUCUUUGACCAACUCGGGAUUAUUUUGCUCAUUCAAAUAUGUAGCGUCAUCAAAUACCUGAUAUUGAUACAAUUUAAGAUUUAUAGUGCUUAUAAAAAGUAUAAAAUUACUAAGCAUAGAUAUGCUUUUUUUUACUAGUAAGAUUUUAGAAUGAAAGGUUGGCUGCUACAUACAAAAGAAAGUCACAUCUAAAAUGCAUGAAGUUCAGGUCAUUUUUGGGAGCAUGUUGAGAGAACAAAUUAAAUAAUAUAUGAAUCUUGUAUUAUCACACACCCAACACGGGCCGUACUCGUCGAUGGAGAAAAUGGGCCAACCAGGGCCCAAGCAGGGGGCGCCACCGCCGCCGCAGCUGGGCUGCCCUAGGAGGGGCGCACACCCAAGAGGGUAGGGGCGCCAUGCCUACCACUUUCGUCGUCUCCGUCUUUGCUAUCUGUGGUUACCAUAUCUAGUCGCAAUUGGUUUUAGAAAGAGUUUAUUCAGAUAGAAAGUUGAGUGUUUGUUAGAUGGAAAAGAGAAUCUACGUUCGAUAAGAAUCUCCUAGUUUGCUUGCAAGUCAAGUCCCCUAGGGACUAUAAAUACUUAGGGAUAUGUAACGAGAUCAAUCAAGUAAUAGACGAGUGAAAGCCGUUUCCCUAUCUAUCUUCUCUCUCUCUCUCUCUCUCUCUCUCCACCCCCUCUCCCUACCCUAGCCGCGCCACCCUUGCCUACACCGUCAGUGACCGCCUCGGUCAUGACUGUUACACCUAGUAUCCAGAGACCAUAUUGAUCGCCAUGCUGCUACUAUGGCUAAAUUAGCUGAGAUCCAAAAGCUCAACGCUAAUUUAUCCAAAGACAUUAUUGCCAAGAUCGACACUGUCCACUCACAGAUUACCGACGUCAACAGCCACCUCAACACCAUCGAGACGAGAUGCUCAGACAAGGACAUGGUUGACGAGCUUGAGCGUGGGAAGCAGCUACUCUCCAUCAAGCUAGAUGACCACCAGAGAUGCAAUGGCGAAAUCUAGUUGUGACUUCAUCAAGGUGUAGACCGGAACUCGCCACCAAGCUAGAGGCUAAGCUCUUCUGCAAGGAGCCCAAACCAGAGAUCCAUCUAGGUAGAGUAGCACCAACCACGUUCUCAGCAAUGGAGAUCCAUCCCCACAUGUUGUCCUUCAUGACAUACGAUGGCAAGGAGGACCCCUGCCACGGAUCAACAGUGAGAGCUAUUCUUUGGUCAAUGGAGCCCAGAGAGAAAAAACAUGGCAUGCUUCUUACCAUCUAACUAGUGCCGCACAAUAGUGGUACAUGAGACUCUUACAGGAUGAUGAUGUGACAAACUAGGCAUAGUUUGCUCAGUGCGUCAAUGAGCGCUUUGGAACCUCCCAUGAAGCGUAACCCUCUGGGUGAUCUCACCUCCCUAUGCAAGACGAGAACCAUCAACGAAUACAUGGAGCGCUUCCUAGUGCACGUGGCUUAGGCUGGCAACCUCGACAAACGCUAGCAAGUCGACAUCUACAUCGCUGGCCUCCUAGAACCACUAAAUAUGGAUGUCGAGCUGCUCAACCCGCAGGACAUGAAGACGGCCAUGUCUCUAUCAUAGGCAUAUAAGCGACAUUUAGCGGUCGUCAAUGAAGCCAACAAGGCAUCGGCUUUUAAGCUAGGGUGACUUCCUCCACCGAAGGUGACUACAACCAUGAUAACAACGACAACACCUACGACAACUAUGAUGGGUGCCACGGCACCAACACCCCGCCCCUUCAAGCAUCUUACCGAUAAAGAGAUGGCGGUACAAUGUAGCGUUGGUCUCUGCUUCAGCUGUGAUGAGUUGUUGUCAUGUGGCCACAAGUGCAAAUUGUUGUUCGACAACACCAUUGUUAACAACUAUGACCUGGAGGAGGCUGAUGAUAGCCUCAUGAUGAUGAUCGGCAGGCUCCACAUAGGAGUCCAAGGCGCCUCCCUCAUGUACAUCGAGUGGAUGAUGAAUUACACAGGCGGUCUUAGUGGAUUUGUGUGUGACACAUAACGUCAUCAACAUCAACAUCGCCCGCUCCUUUGGUCUCUAGGAUCAGUGCAUCAACAUAACCAUACUCGUUGGCAACAACAAUGAGGUGCCAUGCCAUGGAGCAUCCUUCCAAGUACCACUAUGCAUCGGUAGCGACUCCUUUGACAUCGACGCCUUCCUCUUCGACAUUAGCAACAUCAUCCAUGUCAUUCUCGGCAUGCCUUGGCUAGCUAACUUCGAGCGUAUAACCUGGGACUUCAUCAGCAUGGAGAUGCUCUACUUCUACAACAGGCAUCCAAACACCUUCUAUGGCUCCCUUUGUCAUCAGGUGCUAAUAAUGGUGCUUGCACUCCUGGCACCCCCACUAAAGGUAUGUGAAAGAUCAAACUUCACCACUACAACCUCCUUGUAAUGUGAUGAACAGGUCAGAGCUUGACUCCCCAAUGCCCUCGACCUCUUUGAAGACCCCAAUGGCAUCAUGCUCACGCACCUACGCUAGGCUGUCAGAGAGCAGCAUGAGCUCUAUACAAUCACUAUGGCCAUCAUGGAGGGCCAGGUUGUGAAUGCUUGGUCUUUAGACAAAGGUCUCAUCUUCUUUGAUGGGUGAUUCUACCUACCUACAACCUUGGUGUCACUACUGAGCCUUUUAUAGGUUUGUUGACAUGGUGGUUCCGCUAGCAUGGAGCUGCUAGCAUUGGGAGCGCAUGAACCACCGACACAAAGAAGGAUAGUUAACUGGGGUACCCUCCCAUAUUAUCUUGGGUCAUCCCUAGUUACUAUGACAUCCUAUAGUGGCAAAGAUGGUGAUCUUCCUCGACACAUUCGACCUUGGACCAUCCGUGUCGACAACAUCAACAUCGGGCUUCAUCUAGGCUCCAUCGACCACCGCAUGUCACCAGGCAAAUUCAACCGAGGGGCCUUCGUCUUUGGCGCCAUCUUGGACCUCAUGACAUCACCACCAACACGCUCAACAAUGACAAUUUGGUGCCAAGUACAACUCUCCUCUAGCAUCGACAUCAACAACCACAUCCAUGGUUUCAUCACCCCUCCACGAGUGAUGCUUUUCUUCAGCUUCCAGGCCUCGGUACCAUGUCCUCUUCUUGUUGCAGCAAGGGCAGGCACACAAAUGGGAUCUUCAGGCAACAUCUUCUACUACCUCUUUGGCUACAUCGGCAACCUCUAGUACUGCUUUGAGUUUGCACCAGUAUGGGCAUGCGAGAACAUUAUUCUCACUAAUCCCCUUAGUGGCCACGUUAUGUGCUACUUGGAGGAGGUCCAACACGAGGAGAUCUGCCACCAAAAGGAGUCAACGAAUGGGUCACAUGUCAGCACGAGGAGGCGUCGAGCGGAGGAGAGAGUACUGUCACAUGCCCAACAUAGGCCAUACUUGUUGGUGGAGAAAAUGGGCCAACCAGGGCCCUAGCGGGAGGCACCAUUGCUGCCACAGCUAGGCUGCCCUAGGAGGGGCACACGCCCAAGAGCGGAAGAGGCACCAUGCCCGCCACCACUAUCGUCUCCAUAAUUGCUACCUAUGGUUACCAUAUCUAGUUGUAGUUGGUUUUAGAAAGAGUUUGUUAAGAUAGAAAGUUGAGAGUUUAUUAGAUGGAAAGGAGAAUCCGUGUUCAAUUAGGAUCUUGUAGUUUGCUUGCAAAUCAAGUCCUCUAGGGACUAUAACUACUUAGGGAUAUGUAACGAGAUCAAUCAAGUAAUGGAUGAGCGAAAGCUCUUUCCCUAUCUCUCUUCUCUCUCUCUUGUGCGCCGCCCCCUCUCUCUGCCCUAGCUACUGUCCUAGCUCUCCAUGCUGUCGCCCCUGCUUACACUAUUGUUGACCGCCCCGAUCACAACUAUUACAUGUAUAGUCUAUUUGUAUAUAUGAAAAAAUUAAUGAAGAAAAUUUUCAAUCAUUAAACUAUGAGUUUUUAUUCUAGUCAUGAAACUCCUUUGGCCAUCCAACUAUCAGAACCGUGCAUGCAGCAUCUCUCUCUCUCUCCAUGCGCAAUCUCUCUCAGCGAAAAUCACUCACAUUUUAAAUUUUAUUAGAGUGUAUAGCCAAUCUGACCCAGCUUGAGUAGGUGCCCCCUUAGGCCUAGGUCCACAAGAGCCCCCAACAAAUCAAUGCAUCGGGCCUAACUCAACACAAAAAACUAGUCAGAUAUGUGAUGGUUUUCCCUCACUUAUAUGUUGUACUCUCCCACCAUCAAUUUCCCUAGCAAUGUCCCCCAUCACACAUCAGACUCAACUCUUCGAAUCACACAAUUCUUAUGUAACCUCUAGAAGAUGUUAUCAAGGCCCCGAGUCUAACGCUCCAUGUCACAUACAACCCGAGUCCAAAUGCUUCAUGUCACACACAAUCCAUGUGAUCUUCAAGAUGUUAACGGGCUUCCUCACCACCACAUGGCCCCUAAGAUUUGUGGUUAGAGCACUUGGGCAACAUCUAGCAAACCUACAUUCGACUCUAUGUGGGAACGAAUUUAAAUAGGUCUAGAAUAAAAAACAUAAAAAAUUGGUUGGGGUUUUCCUGUAGACUUUGGUAAAGAAAAGAUUUUUCAAGCCUUUCGACCAUGAACUCUAACAUCAAUUCUUAGAGUGCAUAACAGAUCUAUUCCAGUUCUCACCUAUACCCACAAGUCAGUGCCCCUCUAUGCCAGGUCCACUAAUAAAUCAAAGAAAUAAAGCUAACUCAACCUAAACGACUAGUCUGAUAGAUUGGGAGAACCGUAAAAAAUGGCUAACAGAGAUGGGUGUGUCCCAUGCCUAUGUUAAUAAAUUAAAAAUAAUAGAGAGAGCCUGUCGACGGGGCCUGCUAAGCCAAUCCACAAGGCUCGCCGAGCACAUUGACUUGGUGCCCCUGCCCAAACACCUAUCUCACCAUUGCCUGAUAGCGCCUCAGGCCUAGAUCUUCCUCCUCUGGCUUGUUCCCAUCUACAUCGCCACUGAGAGCAGCCCCACGCACGCCAAGGUUAGGAGCGGCCUGCCCCUGUGCUGCUGGUCAGAGUUGCCCACAAAGUGCACAUCACUGAGCGUGCAUGUAAUUAGUGCCACCAUGGCCGACCUCGCUCCCUCUCCAUGAGUGCACUCCAUGUGCAUUGAGUACCAUCACGUGACCUUAUCAGCAUGUCUCUAGCACUAUUUCUUCCCUCCAUGAUGAGCUCAAGUGCAAGGCCACGACCCUCCCAAACUACUCCACGAUGAGCUCAAGUGCAAGGCCAGGCCCUCCACAACUACUUAUUUGAGCCAAGGCAUUGCUGGAGCCGGGUUGCCCUCACAAGCUAUUCACAUUCCCAGUGGCGCACCACACUACCACUUGGAUUUUCCAUGGGCGACAACUUUCACUGCUUAUCCAUUGAAUCUGAGCCUGUUGUGAGCUUACAAACACCUUGGACAUCAUCCUCCACCCCUCUUUUGAGCUUGGCCAUGCCAAAUUUGGCCUAUAUGCCCAAUCAUGGCAAUCCUAGCAUCAGCGUUUGGCCACCGUGUGGGAGGGAAGUGCAAGGGAGCACGAGUGCACACUAGCUACAGUGGCCUCCGCAGUUGGAGCCAAGUUCAUGGUGGGUGAUGGUGUGCACCAUGUCCAAGCAUGUAGCUAGCACUCUAGUGAGCAUUGUGGCCGGGUUAAACCAGUGAUGCAAUGGAAAUUAUAGGAGAGAACAGUUGGGAGAGAGGGAGAGGACUGCAGUUUAAGAGGAUGUUGUGGGGAAGAGAACAUGAAAUAUGACAUGUGGGCCCAGCUAACAUGUGUGGUUCACUAAGCGAAAAUAGCUAGAUCUCUAGUUGUUAACAAUUUUGAUAGUGGAACUGUAAAAAAACUUUUGGGUUUGAAGUUUCAUGGCACUAAUCAAUCUCUUAAUGAUAAAAAAAUGGAUUUUCCCGAAAUCAGUGCUAUUUCAAACCAAGAAAAGUGGAGGACAUUUAUGUUACCUUUUCACUCAAGAGGCAAAGUGCAUCAUCUGGCUCAAGAACUUGAAGGUUGCACACAACUCCAUGUUUUCCUGAGCAGUGGUAAGCAAUAUUCUCCUCCCUCGUAGUGAUAAUGAUUCGGCUCGUCUUUUCCAAUAGAGGUAAUAACUUUGGUUUUAUCAAGUCCCAUUCAGAGGUCUCAAAGAAAUCAUCUAGAACAAUCAAAGAACUUUUCUUCUCUAAUAGUCUUUUCAACUCCUCAGUCAACUUGUCGACGUCCAUCAAUGCUAAUGAUUUCUUAUUGUUGUUUCCAUUUUUUAAUAGUUCUUGCUUCUUAGAAGAUUCUUCAUGUAAUUGUCUGGCCAAGCUCCUAAGGAACUCUUCAAGAUUGAAAGGACGCAUAAUUGUGAUGAAAACGUACUUCUCAAACAUGUCACUCAACUUUGGGCUUUGAUAAACACCACCAACUAGGGUGGUUUUCCCAAGGCCACCCAUUCCCCACACAGAGAUCACCUGAACUUGUUGGCUAUUAUCACUAUUUGAAACUAAGUCUAUAAUUUUAGAUAUUUCUCUGUUUCGCCCGAUAAGUUGCAAUUCCUCCAAACCACUCACACGCGUCCUAGUGCGACUAAGACUCUUUUUAGCCACCUUCUUCUCAUCAGCAUCCAUAGAUUGAUCAUCUGUAAUCUCACCAUGAGGUGCUAUUUGAUUGUCGGUACUUGUGGUUGCCACAUCCAAGAUAGAAACUUGCUUCACCAAAUCCUCUCCAUUUUGGGAACCCUAAAUAAAAGAGAGAAAUAUUUAGGAACAACUUUUAGCCUUCAAUUUUCAUGAACAAUAUUUAGUUUGUUUUCAGUCAUGAAAGCUUAUCAUUAGUUUGUACCCUACUCCAAACCUUAGCUUGGGAUCCAAAUUUUCAUGACUUAUAUUAGAAUUCUCAAUAAUACAUGUAUUAUAUGAAAUUUAAAGAAAUAAAUUUAAUCCAAAUGACGAGAGGAUACAUUUGCUAUAUCAAACCAUCUUACUAUAAUCUCUAUGAGAUAGAGGAAAAUAUAUCUACCUGGAUAUGAAAUCAAAUACUCCAUAUCAAAAUUAUGUGUAAAAUAGGAGCUUCAAAUUUAAUUGUGCAAUAGACCUGUGCUCGAUUACUUACAGGUACUAUCUUGCAGGUCAAUCUGUUAACCAGUCUACUACAUCCUAUACAUUAUAUUAAUUUGAGGCAAGACAUCUAAUUUAUUUACCUGGUAUAAUUAAGAUCACUGAAUAUGAAGGCAUGCAAUAGACCUGUGCUCGAUUACUUACAGGUACCAUCUCCUUUUCUAGCAUGCGCUAGCUAAAUUCUAAGGCCUUGUUUAGUUCUAAAAAAAUUUCAAGAUUUCCCGUCACAUCGACUCUUACGGCAUAUGCAUGAAGUAUUAAAUUUAGACGAAAAUAAAAACUAAUUACACAGUUUGUCUGUAAAUCGCGAGAUGAAUCUUUUGACCCUAAUUAGUCUAUGA